UUACAUUUGCUCCAUUCACUCCGACGCCUGGGGCAUUACUUCCUGGUACGGAGCAAGACAAACUCCCCAAUAUAGUUAAAUUAAUAUUCGUUGGUAUAAUCGGUGGUACUUGACCACCAACAGGUGGUACAAUCGGUGGUAUACUAAUGGGUGGUACAAUCGGUGGUAUAUUAAUGGGUGGUACAAUGGGUUGGCCAAGAAUAGGACCAACAAUUGGACUGAGAAUAGAACCAACAAUCGGUAAUUGGCCAAGACCAACAGGUGGCACUUGACCAACGGGUGGUACAAUACGUGGUGGUGCAGGUUGACCCAAUAGGGGAUGCAAUAGAGUACCCACAAAGGGAAUGGGACCCAAAAUGGGACGAACAAUGGGACCAAGGUUAAUAGGCAAUUGAGCAUGGGCUAGAGGACUGGUGGUGAUGAUGGAAAGUAGAAUAACAAGGGAAACAACACACAUUUUUGAAGACAUGAUGAUUUGAUAAUUUUUAUUCUGUUCAAUAUACCCUUUAUAUAGUGCUCCUUUUUAUUUACUCCACCCCUACCUUAACUUACCCCACCCCCCAACCUAUAUAAAUGAUUAAAUAUAUUAUCUUUCAUCCCUAAAUAAGACUUACAAAUAUCUCACAUAUAUCAUCAUUAGUUAGGUUGAAACUCAUCAACUUGAACAACAUUGGGACCAUACAAAUUAAUUAAUUCAAUAUCAUUUGACUUGUCAUAAGAAGAAAUUUUUUUUGUAAGCUGAGGCCAAAAGGCCUUUGGUUUGCCCAUAGGACUCCCUUUUUCUUUUCUUCUACCAUUAUUUUUAAAGUAAUUAAAAGUUGAAGAUUUAAAACAAAUACCAUAAAUUUAUAUUUUUUUAAUUAUUAAAGUAAUUUACACAAUUUAUUUAUUUUUAUUUAUUUUAAAUAUAACCUUUUAAAAUUGGUGUUAAAUCUUUAUAUUUUGGUAAAAAAUUAGGUGUUCACAGUGUGAUUGUUAAUCACUUCAUUAAAAAUUAAAAAAGUUUAAGUAGAAUUUAGAUAAAAAAAAAAUAAGUAAUGUCUACUAAUUAUCUUGAAAUCUAAUGGGUUUAUCACAUUGUUCGAAAUGUAUUAAAAUAUCUAACAUAUAAUUUUAAAAUUGAAGAGAGUUAAAAUUAUAGUAGAAUAAAAGAGAGAUGAAAUUGUGGUAAAAACUGACAUUGAAAGUGAUAAGUUAAUGAAGAUGACAAUGAAUUUUUGAAGAAGAAGGAAGAAAGAAAAAGAAAAAAAUAAUAAGGAGAAAAAGUUAAAAUAAUACGAAAAAUUAAAAAAUAUAUAUAUUUUAUAGUAAAAUUCUUGUAAAAAUAAAAUUAUAUUCGUUUUUUUAGUUUGUUCACGCUCUUUAAGAGAGCGCAUACACUUUCCGUGUCAGGUAAACAAAAAAUGAUGUAAUAAUAUCAAUUCAAAAAUAUUUAGGGAGGGUAAUAGGAUACUUGCUUAGUUUAGAUAUUUUUAUAAAAAUUCGAGACAACUUCAAGUAACAUUUUAUGUCUUUUCUCUAUAUGCUAAAAACCUUUUAAGUAGUAGUGUAUGGAUCACCAAUAUACCACUGACUUUAUAUAUAUAAUAUAAUAUGAAGUAUUUUGUAGAAGAGCCAUGAGUUUCACAAAUAUGUCCAGAAGUAGCAUAACAAAAAUAAGUAGAAUUAGUUAGAUUCGAAUGCACGAUUACUUCUUCAUUUCAAGAAGGUGAAAUCAUUAGGUUAUAAUUAUAAUUUUUUUAAUGUUAAGGAUGUUCAAAAUAUGCUAUUUAAUCAUUUCGUAUGUAUUUUACUUGUUUAUAUGAUAGUUAUUUCUGACGAAAAUCGGACACCCUUAUCACCACGUGACUACGCCACCGGAUGUAUCAAGCUUUAAACACACAGAAAAAUGAGAACUAUAUUUUCUGGUUUUCUGGUAAGAAAAAAAAUAUAUUUAUGUUAAUAUAAUGGCACGAUAGAUGGGCAAGCAGGAGGUCAAUGUAUAUGUUUAAUUUACAUGAUACAGAUGAAUUAGGAGAGCAAUUAAAAUUUAUAUGAUUUAAAAAUAUUAUAAGUUGUUUAUUAUUGUGAAUUAUAGUAUUUUUAAUUUAUGUGACACAUAUAAAAUUUUAAGAGUCAACAAAUUCUUUAAUAAGUUUUAAAAUAUAUUUCAAAUGGUUAAUUAUUAUAAUUUUUAAUAUUUUUUACGCCCUAAACCUACAUCCUAAAUGUAUCGGUACUCAAAAAUCAUCUUUGAUCCCAAAUGAACCUUUAAUCAUAAGCGAAAGACUUACUCUAACAACAGAAAUCUCAAAACAAGAUCAACUCAUAAGAAUAAGUGCUCAACUCUCAAUCUUCAAAACAUCAAGGACUGAGAAAAAGAAGUAAAAUAUUUUUUGGAAGAAUGAAAGGGUGGUUUAUGGGGAGGGGGUUGGAUAAUAAUUUAAUUUUUAUUUAUACGGUGAAUAUUUUAUCUAUGUGAAAUGUCAAAGUGUUAAGAUUUUUCAAAAUAAAAAAUAGAGUACAUUAUACACACCACCAAGGUGUUUUCUCAAACUAAUAAAUACUAGUUUAGCUACAAAACUAAAUAAAAAGAUAGUUUAAAUGUGUUUUUAAUGGGGGUGUGCAAAAAUCGAACCGACCGAUAAAUUGAACCAAAAAUAUGUUAUUGGGUUAUUGAGGUUUUAAUGGGUUUAUAAAAAAAAAUUAAUGGGUUAUUGGUUCGUUAUCAGUUUUUACUAUUGGGUUAUUGGGUAAAUUAAUAACCCAAUAAGACGGUAAUAAUUCACUAUUUUACUCUUCCUAAUUAUUAAAUAUUAAUAAUUUAAUAUAACUAAACACUAUAACUAUAUCAAAUUAUUAGUACUCUCUCCCCUUCACACUAGGCCGCUUUACUAGUUUUUAUUGUUUACUAAAAACCUAAAGACUAUAGUAAGGGUUCACUAUUGUAGCUAUUUGAUUUUAAUUUUAGUUUAGUAUUAUUGGACUAUUUGAUAUUAAUUUUAGUUUGUAAUUGUAGGUUGUAGCAUUUGCAAGUUUGUGAAGGUCCGUAAUUUGAUUAACAUAAAAAAUCUCGUACUAUAUUUUGGCGGUGACAUGUAAUUAUAGCCUUUGUACUAUAUUUAGAAAAGUGAGAAGUCAUAUAAUAUUUUACGAACAUUUUUGUUACUGGGUAAAUCGAAAAUCAAACGUAUAACUACCAAAAAACGAUAAAGAAUAUCUUAUUGAUUGGUUAUCGGGUUAGUGUUGACACCCAAUUUUGGACCUCCACCAUAUAAAUAAUCAAUUCGAGCUUCUUCGAUUUUAGACGAUUUAAAAUAAUUAGUUUAUAAAAUUGUAAGAAAAUUUCAAAGUUUGCACCUUAUUUUAAAUAGUUUUGUCGCUUUAUAUAUAUAUAUAUAUAUAUAUAUAUAUAUAUAUAUAUAUAUAUAUAUAUAUAUAUAUAUAUAUAUAUUACACAACUAUGUAUACAAUUAAUAUAUUUUUAUGAUUACUCAAAAAUCAUCUCAAAAAGAUUUUACUUUGUUUAAAUAUUUUACUAAUUAGUUUAGUUAUAUAAUAGUUUACAUUCUUGAAUUAGUUAUUCUAUAAUUAAGUCGAUUAAUUUAUUUAAUUAAAAUUAAGAAGCUCGUUAAUUAAUUAUACUAAUUCAUCGAGUUUAAUGUCAAUCAUUUCACCAUUCAAUUUCUAAUUGGUUUAAGUAUACAAUAUUUGGUUGCCAAAAGACCAAAUUUGGGCCUCCAUUUUGAAUUGAGCAACUUUCACAUAUAGCAAAUAAAAAAUUCAUAUUUGUAUGCUAUAGCAAAGUUUGCAUAAUUGCGUUCCAUAGCAAACAUAGAAACUGUAUAAUUCGCUAUAUAUAUACAGUUGAAGCAAAUUGUAUAAAUUGAAGUGUAUAAAACAAGAAAGAGAAAGACACUUGGAUAGAGAACUGUAUAAAAAUGAAGUGUAUAAAACGAAUUGUAUUAUUAUAAGUGUAUAGAACCAUUUUAUAAAAUUUGAAUUUGUAUAAAAUGAGAAAGAGAGAAAGACAAAAGAGACUUGACAAGGAAUAUACAAUUGAAUCGAAUUGUAUAAACGAGAAAGAGAGAAAGGCAAAAGAAACUGUGCAGGGUAGUAUUUUUAUUGUAUAAUUACAAGUGUAUAGGAUGAAAAUAUAUGUAUUUGCAUGUGUAUAUACAAUUUUCUCACGCUUUAUACAAACAGAAACACAAUUUAUGCAUUUUGCUUCUCUUUGUAUAAGUGAUAAAGGCGAGGGUGGCGAGCGAGAUCUGGAAGAGGGAAGAGAGGGGAACAAAAAUAUAUGUAUUUAUGCAAUUUUCUCUACUUUAUACAAUUAGAAACAAUUUUUAUACACUUGUGUUUGUAUAAAAAAUGAGGAAGCGAGUGAGAUACCGGAGGAGAGUGGCGAGCUUGAUAUUUGGGAGAGAGGCGCCGGGAAUUUUUUUACAAACGUUUGGUAUGGAGCACAAUUAAAUCAAACUCUAGCUACUAUAUUUAUUUUAGGUUAUUAGUUUGCUAUUAUAUACAAUUUUCCCUUUUAAAGAGCAUUUCAGCCCAAUCUUAAAUUACAUCAACCAAACCAGCCACUCCAACUUCCUUUUUAAAUAGUAUAAAUUUAAGGAAUUCCAUAGUGUAAUACAAUUAUUACAUUCUGUCCCGACAAAUUUAGUAUUUACUAAUAAUCCCUUAAAAUUGUUGUGGCGUGAUACAUUAGUAUGUUGUGAUAUAUGGUAAAUAAUAUAUAGUAAUUUAAAAUUGUUAAGAUUAAAAGGGGGUAAAAUGGAACAUUUAAAUUUGUUAUCUAAAUCAGCUUAAAUUACGGUAACAGUUCAUUAAUAAGCAUUAAUUCAACACGUAAUUGGAUAACAAUUUCAAAUUUUGAAAAUUCAAGAUUAUAUCAUCUAGUUUGAAGACAUUUUUAUGAACAUCCAGUUAUUAAACUUAUUGACUGAUACAUGAUAACAAUUUUCAAAAACUUUUGAUACAUAGGAAAUCAUAUGAUACACAUCAAAUUCAUGUAUCAAUGCAUCGUCUAAACACUAUAACACACUGAGUCGAUAUGUAUCAGCAAGCACACUUGAUGGCGCAGUUAUUAAGCUUAUUGACUGAUACAUGAUAACAAUUUUCAAAAACUCUUGAUACAUAGGAAAUCAUAUGAUACACAUCUAAUUCAUGUAUCAAUGCAUCGACUAACACACUAUAACACACCGAGUACUUAUGUAUUAAACUUAUUGUCUGAUAUAUGAUAACAAUUUUCAAAAAUUCAUGAUACAUAUGAGAUUCCUUUACUAAAAUUUUUACUAAUUUCAACAACAAUGGUUGCUGCUUCUUUUCUCUUUUUUGGGUGUAUUUUGUCAACCUUUGCUUUAGAUGAUUCGCCAAAAUCUUUGUUUGAAUCCUUCCGAACAUUCAUAGGAUCAUGCAAAGAUUUUUUUUUAUUUUCUUUCCAAUUUUCAUCGUCCGAAUCAUAAAUCCUUCUAUUAGUAAAAGGAUUCAUUAAUAUGAUGUAAUAGAACAAUGAACAGAAAUAAAAUAAAAAAAAGAACGGAUGAUGGAGUAAGAAGAAAAAGAAGACCUAGAGACGGCUGAUGUAAUAUAGAAAUGAACAAGAACAAAAAAAAGAACAGAUGAUGGAUUAAGAAGAAGAAAACUAUAGACGGAUGAUGGAGUAAGAAGAAGAAGAAGAACCAUAGAACAAUGGUCCAAUUUUCAGAAAUUUCAAAUUUUUUGAAUUUUGAAAUUCAAAAUUUCAUAUUAAAUGUUGUGAAAUGUUUUUAAUUAAAAUUAAUAAUUCAAAAUUCAGAAAGUGAUUCAUGAAUGUUUUAGUGGAGAAAAAAUAGGCAUGAUAUUGGGGAAGUGUGUGUUAUAGGAGAGAGAAGGCUAUGUAUCUCUAAACUUCUACUAAAAAAAGAAAAUUAUGUAAUAUUUAUAAAAAGAAGGGAAAAUUAGAGAAUACUAAACUUAUAGUUGUGUAUUUAAGUUAUUUUUCCUUUUAAAUAUACCGGCCCAACUUUAUUAUUCCCAAAUGGAAAAAUUACAUAAAUUAAUAUAUUUUAAAAAAUAAUUACUGAUUUUAGUGAUACUUUUUGUUUAUUACCAUUUAUAGCAAUGCUUUGUUAAAUCUAUAAUAUGUAUUAAAAGUGAAUUAUGUAUGCAAUAUAUAUGAAUUAUAAUUGUUUUUUGAAAUAAAUCAUGUUUGUUUGAUAAAAAAUUAUCACAUUGUAUUUUAAGUGUAUUAAAGUGUGUGAUAAAUUUAUUAUUCAUCAUUAAAAUUUGUAUUAUAUGUGAAUAAUAAAUUGUUCUUUGUAAUAUGUAUUAAACUUGUAUUAUAAAUGAAUUAAAAGUGAUCAAGUGAGGUAAAAAUAUUAUUGCUAUAAAUGAUAAAUAUUUUUUAUUAUAGUAUAUUUAUAUAAGUUUCCCUUCCCAGAUUUACCCCAACCCGGCCCAAUUCUAUCUUUAACAAGAGAACCCAGUAGUGUUCCAAACCGUAAGCCGACAAAAGUUCCAAGCACCAAAGUUUACGGACGGAAAACCAUUACACAACGCCUUCACGCCUAACUUCAAUGGUAAAAGCAGCGCGUGGAGGGCACCAAGAACAAAUAGUUAUUUAGUUUGUGGUUCGAUAUUGUAAUACUUCUGUUCAACUGAUUUGAGAUUUAUUUCUUGAUGGUCGCAAGUCAUUAGAAUUUUGAAAUGUUUUUGAUUUGGUGUCGGCUGGAAAUCAGUGGUGCAACUUGAAAUAUUGUUGUCUCAUUUGUAUGAAGUUUUAGGUCUUCCUGCCUAUAUUGCUGAUGCUCCUGAUUUUGACAUAUUGAAAUCGCUAUAUUUGUGUUUUGUAGUGUUGUUGUUGUUGUUGUUGUUUCAUUAAGUCGCCAGAGAUAUCACACCCUUUUUCUGCGCGUGGCGUAAGACGGUAAGGGUUUUUCCAAUUUAAGUGACGUUAUUGAUUAGGGAAUUAUUUUAUUUUUCAGCGUCGCCACUUGGAUUUAAGUUAUGGCAAGUCAACUUUUCUUUUAAUCCCUAACCAAAAGGAAAUAACUCUUUAUUUUGGUCCGUGGACCAGAAAUUUAGGUAAGGAAUCCUGUUGAAUGAGGAGAAGGUAUUAGGCAUCCUUCGAGUCCCGUGGUUCUAGCACGAUCACUUUUAUUGACUUAUAUUUAUUUUAAAAUAUUUUUGGAUAUAUUAUUUUUAGGUAUUGACUUGUUUGCAUUUUUAUUCUUGAACUUUUAUUUAGUCUCAAAUCAGAUGCAUAACUGCAUUCUCGACUUUGACAUUUGGAGACAUAAUUGUCUUCAUCUCUCAAGUUCCUCCCACCUAAUAAUUGUCUAUAAGUGUCACUCUAAAUAUUUAUAUUUAUAAACAAGGUGCGUCACCGCAUCCUUGAAUUUUUAAUGUCUCAAAAAGAUGCGUAACCACAUUCUUGAUUGAAAUAAAUAUUUAUUAAUAUGUCGAAAAAUAAUUUAUUUUAUUUUAUUUAUUUAUUUAUUUAUUUAUUGGUCUAGAUAUACCUACUUUAUCAUUAUUAUUUAAAUCAAGAAAAGCUGUAGCUAUAGUGAAAUCAACGUAGUACAAAAUUGAAAAUUGGAUUUCAUUAAGUAAAAAGAUAGAAGGGUUUAACAACAACACAAACUAAUUAAAUUUUAGCUUACAACCUUGAAAUAAUAAUAAUAAUAAUAAUAAUAAUAAUAAUAAUAAAACAAUACUACGACAAGAAUCAUCAACCACAUACAUAAUAAGAGAGAAUAGACAAACAAAAAUUUCAAUACAACCCUGAAAUAACUAUAGAUAAUAGAAAUUUGGAUAUUCAUUAAACUAUAUAUAGUGAAUAUCCUGAUACUAUAUUGCCUAAUUCUCGUUUCUAGGUACAUCAUCUAUAACAAACACGCCUAUUGAAACCCUUCAUGGAGGCGUAUAUUGGUGCUCAAUCCUUUUAUAACGAGGCGUAUAUAAGUGCUCAAUCCUUUGGUUUUGUGAUCCGCCAUGAGAUAUAGAGCAAGUCUUUUUCUAUUAAACUUAUUUCUUUUAUUGUAUUUUUUUGGGGGCCGGGGGGUGGGGGGGGGGGGAGGUGGACUUGAUAUACUCCUUAACUUUGUGAUUUAGAGUUGAUAUAUCCUCGUUAAAAAAGUGGGUUACAUGUACUCAUAUUAUUAUAUAAAUAAUGUCUUCAAAUAUACCAUUUUGUUCUAACGGGAGUGAAAACAAAUAGUUUUUUAAAUGCAUUUUUUUAUUUAUUUUUAAGAAGUAAAAUUUGAAUAUAUAAUCUUAGAACUUUUCUAGAAAAUAUACUCGUAUAUUGAUAUUUUAGUGUGUUUUUAAAAAAAAAAUUAAAACAAUAUUUCACUUCCAUUAGAUGAAAAGGUUAUAUGUGAACCACUUUUAUAAUGGUAAGACUAUAUAUGAACCACUUUGAAUUUAAAUGUGCAUUAUUUUAUAAUGAGCGACAUAUAAAUUCUAAUAAAUUAUAAAGUAGAAGAGUAUAUCAAGACCUUUUAUGGACUUUGGUAUUUAGAGAUUUUGUUAAUUAAAGUAGAGGAGUCGUAUAUAUAGGUGAAUAUUGAUAUGCUGCAACAUGUGUUAUUUAUUUUAAUGUGUGUAUUAUUGAGUAGUUAAACGUGUUGGGAGCCGUGCGUGCAUAUAUGCAUUUCAUGACAUAUAUAAUAAUAAUAGAGUGAAAAGAAGAAGAAGGCAGAAAUGAAUUGAAAAUAAAGGAAGUAGUUAAAAUAUUAUCCAAUCUCACCAUUUAUUUAUUAUAAAAUAUUAGAUACGAUACAUAAUUAAUUAAGAGAUGGAUGAGGUUAUAUAUAUAUAUAUACACACUCACUUCAUUUAUUUAGGUGUGUGUGAGUAUAUCAAGACUUUUUACGGACUUACAUAUUUAGAUAUUUUAGAGAUUCUGUUAAUUAAAGUAGAAGAGUAGGUGAAUAUUGGUAUGUUGAAAACAUGUGUUAUUUAUACUCAUGAAUAGAAUAAUUAAGUAGUAUAUAAUUGUUGUUGUUCAUCUUGUAUUCCAAACAUACUUAGAACAAAACUUUGAACAUCUUUGUAAGAAAACAAAGUUUAAGAACAUUUUCACAACUAGAAAAUUAAAACUAGUAGCGAAACUAGAAUCAGAAACAGAUUUUUUUAAAAAAAUAUACGAAAUAUUUUUCUUAAAGAGGAAUUGUUGUUAAUAUGUGUCUAAAUAAUCUUACUGAUUCCAACAAACUUUGCAGAAACACGAAGUUACCAAGUUUAAUGAACCAGUGAAGAACAGAAGAAUAGAAGAACUGAAAUUAAUUGACAAAUCUAAAAUUUGUAAAAGACGUACCAGAAUCUGAAAAUUUUUAAUAGGAAAAAGAUCAAGUCCACUGAAUUCACAGUGUCCCCUUAAGGAAAUUAUUAGUUAAACGUGUUGGGAGCCGUGCAUGCAUAUAUAUAUACAUUUCAUGACAUAUAUAAUAAUAAUAAUAAUAUUAUUAUUCAAUCUCACCAUUUAUUUAAUAUAAUAUUACAUGAUAAUUAAGAGGGCACUUCAUUUAUUUAGGUGUGUGUGAGUGAUGAUGGAGUAGUCCUAGGUAAUAGUGACGGUUGCUAGAGAUGUAAGUAUCCCAAAAAUUGCUGCCAAAGUUUGACCAACCACAUUCUCAAGUAAGUUUCCAAUAAGGAUAACAGGAGCUACAAGGGUUCCUGUGGUUGGAGUCAAAGUGCAAUUAGCAAUUGGGAGAGGAAUCCUUGCAAUACAUGUUCCUGACAAAAGACUUGUAUUGGUGGACACUGCAGCAUUAAUAAUGCCUUGACUAUUUGUGGACACUUGAGCAAUCGUUGUGUUGCCACAAAUAAUCGUUACAUUUGCUCCACUCACUCCGACGCCUGGGGCAUUACUUCCCGGUACGGAGCAAGACAAACUCCCCAAUAUACUUAAAUUAACAACACGAUCAACAACAGGUGGUACAAUCGGUGGUACUUGACCACCAACAGGUGGUACAAUCGGUGGUACUUGACCAACAACAGGUGGUACAAUCGGUUGGCCAAGAAUAGGACUAAGAAUGGGACCGACAAUUGGACUGAGAAUAGAACCAACAAUCGGUAAUUGGCCAAGACCAACAGGUGGUACUUGACCAACGGGUGGUACAAUACGUGGUGCAGGUUGCCCCAAAAUGGGACCCAAAAUGGGACGAACAAUGAGACCCAAACCUUGAGCAUGAGCUAGAGGACUGAUGGUGAUGAUGGAAAGUAGAACAACAAGGGAAACAACACACAUUUUUGAAGACAUGAUGAUUUGAUAAUAUUUUUUUCUGUUCAAUAUCCCCUUUUUAUAGUGCUCCUUUUUAUUUACUCCACCCCUACCUUAACUUACCCAACCCCCUAAUUUAUAUAAAUGAUUAAAUAUAUUAUCUUUCAUCCCUAAAUAGCAUUAUUAAAGACUUACAAUAUCUCCCUAUAUCAUCAUUAGUUAGGCUGAAACUCAUCAACUUGAACAACAUUGGGACCAUACAAAUUAAUUAAUUCAAUAUCAUUUUGACUUGUCAUAAGAAGAAAUUUUUUUGUAAGCUGAGGCCAAAAGUAGGGUGGGCAUUCGGUAUUUCGAUUCGGUUUCAGUUUUUUUUCCGAUUUUUUGAUUAUUGUAAAUUGUGUACCGAAUACCGAAUCAAAAUAUUUUGGUUCAGUUUGGUUUUUGUUAAUUCGAUUCGGUUUUUUAUUUCGGUUUUUUAUGUUGAUGGCGCGGCUGCUAGCUGCUGACUGGUUGAAUGUUGAUGGUGCCUGGCAGACGGCGUGGCGGCGCUGCUGCUAGUUGCUUGACAGCGCGGCGGCGCUGCUGCUGUCUGCUUGACGGUGCGGCGGCGCUACUGCUUCUUUUGGCGGCCGGCCGGCGCAGCUGCUACUUCUCGCGGCUGCUGCUGCUUCUUCUGGCGGAUGGCCGGCGCUGCUGCUUCUUCUGGCGGACGGCCGGCGCUUAUGCUGAAUCUGGCUGGAGGAGAAGAAGAAGAAGAAGAGGAAGAAGAGGAGAGGAAGAGGAAAGACCAAGAGGAAAACAAAUCAGUAGAAAGAUGAAAGAGAGAGGAAUAGGGCCCGUAGGGUUUCUUUUUAAAAAAAUUAUUUAAUAUUAAUAAUUAUUAAUUAAUAUAAUAUAAAUUAUAGUAUAUUAUUUCGGUUUAAAUCGAAAUAUCAAAAACUAAAAUAAUACAUACCGAAAAUCGAACCGAAAUACCAAAAAAUAUAAAAAAGUAAAUCGAAAACCGAACUGAAAACCGAAAUAUCGAAACCGAAAUUUUGAAAAAUUUCAAUUUCGUUUGGUGUUUCGGUUUUCCGAUGUUUGCUCACACCUAGCCAAAAGGCCUUUAAUUUGCUCAUAGGAACUAUUUUGAUGGAAUAAAUAACUCCACUUGGUUUGGGUGUCAAAAAAAACAACAAUAAAAAUAACAACAACCAUCGAAGAUUUUUGAAAAUAGUUGUGUGAUUGUUAAUCACUUCAUUUAAAAAAAAAUUAAUGUUAUAUCAUGUUUUUAAUUAUAAUAAACUACACUAUAUAAUAAUAAUAAUAAUAAUAAUAAUAAUAAUAAUAAUAAUAAUAAUCAAGGGCAAAAAGCUAAUCUACUUGGUCAACAUAAAAUGACUUUUAAGUUGAAAAAAAAACACCCCUCACCUAUCUUUUAGAUUUUGGCAUAAAAUAAGUCAUUUUGGACUUAAAAUAAGUCACUUUGAUAAUUGUCAAACACUCAAAUAAAUCAAAAACUGAAUUUUAAAUCAGUUUGACCAGCUUUUAAGCCCAUUCCAAUAGGCUCUAAGUGUGUAAAUAACUUUUCGAUACAAGUUCAAGGUGAAAUUUAUGUCUUUUCCCUUUGAAAUACCUAUCACAAUACUUUAUUUCUCACGCCAUGUAUUCAUGAUAUAAUAAAAAUAUAUAUAUUAAAUAUUGAAUAAGAAAUUUAUGGGUGCCUCGACUAUGUUAAAAAAAGACAUAUGUCUUAGGUCCCCCAAAUUUAAGGGGCCUCAUUUUUAAUAAUAAUAGGUUAUAAGUUAUUAUUUUUUUAACAAAUAUUGAAUACUAUUUAUAGAAAAAGUAAAAUUUUUCAUGAAAAAUAAAGGAAUUAUAGAAGAAAUUUGACAUGUUUGAAGUAAUAUAUCUCAAGAAAAAUAAUUUAAAAUAAGAAUGAUUAUAUUAUCAAUUGAAAACUAGAAGAAAUCAAUUAUAUGAAGUUAUUGACGAUUCAAGUCUAAUGAUCUAUUUAAUUUUUGAUUUAAGCCACUAAUAUACUUAAGUCACUUCUAAAGAAAUUUUGAUAUUUUUUCAAAGAAAGAUGUAACAUAAAAGUUAUAAUAAAAUAUGUCUUUUACUUUAUCAGAAAAUAUCAAGAGAACGUGGGAUGAAUGCAUGAGUUAAUUUGACAAAGUUUUAUCAUUCAUUACAAUAUUAUUAAAAUUAAUAAUCUAUCUUAUUUAAUGGCUCAAUAAGUGAAUGAAAAGACAUGUUAAAACUAAUGUAAUUAAGUAUUUUACUUUUACAAAUUAUGACUUAUUAAAACUAAUGUAAUUAAGUAUUUUACUUUUACAAAUUAUCAAAAAUUUCAAAGGACUAAAUCGUUAUGUCAGAAGUGAUUUUAUUUUCACGGUGUUAAGUGAAAUCGCUAAAUCACUGACCUACCAGCGAUUUUGUUCAUAUUUUUUUCCUAUUUUUUUUAAAGGCAACGAUUUUAGUGGAUUUUUUUCCUUACAUCUCGUAAUUUGAAAUAACUAAGAAAUCAAGAAUAAACAAAAUCGCUUCUGAUAUAGCGAUUUAGUGCUUUUAGUUUUAAAAAACUUAAUGUACCCUUUUGAAAUUUUUAAUGUUUUUUUUAACUCAAAGAAAAUUUUUGUAUGGGUAGUGUUUUUGGAUUUUUUUUUAGAAAAAUAAAAUUGCUUUACUGUCGCAUUUUUAUUUUAAUUGUUUUUAAUAUCGCUGCCUAAAAAGCGAUUUAAGUGGGAAAUUAUUAUACUUUUUGGCAAAUGGUAGCGAUUUGUGUGGAAUAUUUUUUAUUUCUUUCUUUUUAAAAAUCUUGGCAACUCUUUAGUUAAAUAACUUUUAUUAAGAUAUUGCUGGCAAUUAUUUUUUAAAAAUUCGUUUUAAAUGUUGGUAAUCAAUUUUAAAAAAUAAUUAUACAAUUUUUUUAAAAAAAAAAUUGGCACUGAUAUUUUUUUUUAAAAAAGAACUUCCACCAAGCAGCGAUUUUUUAUAUAAAAAUCACGAAAAUAGCUGUCAAGAAUUUUUUUUCCAUUAAAACGCUGUUUUUUUUAAUAUAUAAAUGUUGCAUUGCAGUGAUUUAAAAAAAGAGAAAAUUGUAUAUAAUAUAGUAAACUAAUAAUAUAAAAUAAAAUGAAGCAGCUAGGAUUUGAUUUAAUUGUGCUCCAUAGCAAAUGUUUGCAAAAAAUUGCCAGACACCUCUCUCCCAAAUAUCUCGCUCGCCACUCUCCUCCAAUCUCUCGCUCUCUUCCUCACUUUUUAUACAAACACAAGUGUAUAAAAAUUGUUUCUAAUUGUAUAAAGCAGAAAAAAUUGUAUAAAUACAUAUAUUUUUGUUUCCUUCUCUCCUCUCUUCUAGAUCUCGCUCGCCACUCUCCCAAAUCUCGCUCGCCACCCUCGCCUUUCUCACUUAUAUAAACAGAAACGAAAUGUAUAAAUUGCGUUUCUGUUUGGAUAAAGCGUGAGAAAAUUGUAUAUACACAUGCAAGUACAUAUAUUUUCGUCCUAUACACCCAGUUUCUUUUGCCUUUCUCUCUUUCUCAUUUUAUACAAUUUUCAAAUUGUAUCUAAUUUCUUUCUUCCUCGUUUUAAGUAAAGUUAUCAUUACAUAAAUCAAAUGGAGUGAGCUCAAACUUUAGUUAAUUUUUUUUAAAAAAAAUAUUUUGUUGUUUAACAAUUUUUAAAAUGAAAAUGCUAAACCUUUUUCACAAUUAUGUUUUAUAGUUUUUUUAUCAAUAUCUAGUCGAUGAUAACCAUAAUUUUAAUAUAAAUAAUAUAAUAAGGUAACUUAAUUCUGAAAUUCAAGUAUUGAUAUUUUUGAGAAAAUAUUUAUUUAGAAAUUGUAAAACAUUCAUAAUCUAAUAUUUAAUAUGUUUCUUACUCUCAACGAAUGACACUAAUUCAUCAUGAUUCAAAAUUGUAAGAAGUAAAAAUCAAUACUAAAAAGUGCAACUCAUUAUUAUAUGAAGUUUAAUAUGUAGUUUAUCUAUUGUCGAAAGUUUUCCAAGUAUAUGAUAUAUAAUUCUAUGAUAAAUUAAUUUUUGAUCCCAUAUAUUUAUACUAUUUUCAAAUUUAUACCGUUAAUUGAUUAUAUAUUUUCUUAAACUACAAUUACGCGAUCAUUAUUUAUCAAUUCUACUUUAUCAACUUUAUAUUCUUCUUUUUUAUAUCUUUAGAAUUGUGCUAUUUUUGUUUUCUUAUUUAAGUUACAAUUUUAAAGAUAAAAUAAAUAUUUUUUGGAGAUAAAAUAAGUUAAAUAAAAAACUAUAUGAAUACUUAUGUUGAAAAAAAUUAUAUAUAAUUAAAAAAUUGUCCUAUUUUUAUUUUCUUAUUUAAGUCACAAUUUUUAAAGAUAAGAUAAAUAUUAUUUUGAGAUAAAAUAAGUUAAAUAAACUAUAUGAAUACUUUUGUUUAGAAAACAUUAUAUAUAAUUAAAAAAAUUACAUAUAUGAAAGAUUAUAAAAUUAUACUGGUUAUGUUGUAGUAGUAAUAAACAUAGAUGAACAAUUUGAAUUGUCAAGAGUAUAAAAAUAAAAAUAUUUUUCACAUUAUUAUUAUAUCAAACAAAUACAAAUUGAUUUUCAAAAAGAAUAAUAAAAUGUAUUUGUGGGUCACACAUGAAACAAAAAUUAUGUGAUUCUUGAAAAAAAAUAAUAGAUUCUUCUAGAAAACUAUUUUGACAAUUAAUUAUACAAUUAUAAAUUUAAAACUUUGCCCAUAAAAAUAAUUAAAAUUACAAAAUUGUCAUUGAUUGGCCUCAUCAUGACUCUUAUGUAUAAUAGAAACUAGACAAUUGAAGGCCCGUUCAUGGGCUCAAUAUAAUUAAUUAUUUUUUUCAAUUUUAAGUUAAAAAAAUUAUCCAAAUUAAUAUCUUAUUUUAUCAUAGUUUCUAAAAUUUUCUACUAUUUAAACAAUUACAAAAAUGUCCUCUCAGAUACAUUCUUAUCCUCUGUCGGACACAUCAGUAUCUCCUCUCGAAUACAUUCCUAUCAUUUCUUGAAUACAUCUUUAUCUCAUCCUGAAACAUCCAUAUCCUCUCUUGGAUACAUCUCUCCCCUUUCGGAUACAUUCAUUCUCUCUCGAAUACAUCCCUACCUUCUCGGAAUCAUCGUGAGCUCUAUGUCUGCAAGUUUCCUCAAUAGCAAUGUAUCACGAUCGAUGUAUCCGCAUGUGUUGAUUUAUCUGAAAUUAUUUAAUUUUAAAAAGAUUUCGUAAUUUGAAAAAAGUAGGAAUAUAAUGUAAUUAACUCUUUACUCUAUGACAUAUUUUUCUUUGUAGUCAGUUUCAAAAGAAUGAUGUAUAACAUAUUUAAAUAACAUUUUGACUUUAAAAUAUUCAUUCUAUUCUUAGUAAUAUUAUUUAUAGUCAUAUGAACAUCUAUGGUUUGUUUUAGACCAUGAGUUUUAAAAGUGUUUUUUCUUUUAAAAAAUUUUCGUGUUAAGUUAAAUUAAAAUUUCAUAAACCGAAAGGGAGUGAGUACAAACUUUAGAUCAAUUUUAUAUUUAUAAAAUUAAAGUUUUUGUAACUAUUUUGUCUUUUAACAAAAUUUAAAAUGAAAUAAUUCACAAUUAUUUUUAUAGUAUUUUUUUAAAAUCAAUAUUCUAUCAAUAAUAAUAAAUUUUUUUAAUUUAAAUAAGAUAAUAAAGUAUUUUAAUUUUGAAAUUCAUGUAUUGAUAUCAAUUGAGAAAAUAUUUAAUUUUAAGUUGUAAAACAUUCAUAAUCUAAUAUUUAAUGUGCUCCUUACUCUCGAUGAAUGACACUAAUUUAUAAUAAUUCAAGAUUGCAAGAAGUAGAAAUCGAGACUAAAACGUGCAACUCACUAUUAUAUGAAGGUCACUAUGUAAUUUAUCUAUUGUGGAAGUCUCAUUAGUAUAUGAUAGAUAAUUCUAUGCCAAAUUAAUUUUUGUUUUCAUAUAUUUAUACAAUUUCAAAAUUUAUCCCGUUAAUUGGUUAUGUAUUUUAUUAAACUACAACUGCACUCAUUAUUUUAUCUUUUUUUUUAUUCUUACAUUAUCAACUCUAUUUUUUUAUCUCUUUAGAAUUGUGAUACUUUUGUUUUCUUAUUUAAAUCACAAUGUUUUAAAGAUAAAACAAAUUUUAUUUUGGAGAUUAAAUAAAUAUUAUUUUGAAGAUAAAAUAAAAAAAAGAUUUACUAACCUACAACCAGGAAGAUCCACUUUGAAACCCAGCGACGAAGAAAACUUUGAAACUCUUAGCCGCGAAAUGAGGGUGAAAGAGUAAAAUCAUUUCUGGAAAAUAAUGAAACGAGGGGAAAAAAGCGUAAUAAAGAUUUAAGGAAUUAGUCUAUGUGGUAGUGGACCCUAUUGACAUGCAAUAUGGAAUUCACAUAGCAUUUAACAACUUCUCUUAAUUAGAAGGGCAAUUUUGACCCAAUAGUUUCACGGAAAGGGUACUUUUGAGCCGAAAUAUACUUUAAGGGUAAAUAUGAGUUAUUUCAGAUAGUUUAAGAGUAUUUUUUACCCUUUUACUUUUAGUCUACGUGGUAGUGGAACCCUAUUGACGUGCAAUGUGAUGGCAUUUAACAACUUCCAUUAAUAAGAAUUGCACUUUUGACACAAUAGUUUGACGGGGAGGAGAGUUUUGAGCGGAAAUAUAAUUUAAGGUAAAUAUGAAAUAUUUCAGAUAGUUUAAGGAUAUCUUUGACCCUUUUAUGUUAAAACUAUAUGAAUACUUAUGUCUAAAAAACAUUGUAUAAAAUUAAAAGGAAAUUAAAUCAUGGAAGAUGGUAGGCUAUACUGAAUAUGUUGUAGUAACAACAAACAUAUAUAAACUAUUAAGUUGUAUAAAUAUUUUUUAUUUAUUAUAAUCAAACAAAUAAAAGUUAAUCUUUAAAAAUUAAAUAAAAUGAUUACAUGGAGUCCCAUGAAACAAAACUUUUUGUGACUCUUGAAAAAGAUUAUUGGAUACUUCUAGAAAAUUAUUUUGACCACUGAUUAUGCAAUUAUAAAGUUGUAAUUUUGCCCAUAAAUAAUGUUUAAAAUUACAAUAUUGUCAUUGGUCAUCCUAAUCAUGACUCUUCUAUAUAAUAGAAAUAAUAAUAACUAGAUAUCAGGUGCCCGUGCUAACGCAAACGCAACGUAUGUUAGAUUUUUCUUCUUCCAAUUUAUGUGACAAAAAUGAAAUUUGAAAAAAAUGAACUAAAUUUUUUAUAUGUGUUUUUUUUAAAAAAUAUUUUAAAUUAUUAAUUUAUGUAUCUUUUUUGUCAUUUUCGAAUAAUAUAUGUUACUUUAUCUAUUUUAUUUUAUAUGAUACAAGUGAUUUUAGGAAAGUAAACGAAAUUUCUUAUAUGAUUUUCAUAUAUUUUUAGUUGUCAUUUUACUGCGAUUCAUAGUACUUUUUAGUUAUUACGUUAUUUUCAAACAAUAUAUGCAACUUUUUUUUUGUUUCAAUAAAAAUAAGGGAGUCAACAAAAUUUCAUUAUGUUUUUUCAACUACAUUUUUCUAAAAAUAUUUUAAAUUGUUACAUUGCUUUUUAAAGUUUUUUUAAAUGUAACUUUCAAAUAUGUAACAAAUUAGAAAUUAAAACGAAGAAUUAAAGUUUUCAAAUCAUUAUAUUUCUAUAUUAGAAUAUUAAAACCUUUAAAACUACAUAUAUAUGCAUAAAUUAGUAGAAGGAAGCCUAACAACUUAUUUUUAAAAAAAUAUAUGAGAGCUCAUUUUAAUAGUAAUACAUACAUAUUUCAUUUUUCAAUAUCCGAAUCCCUCCUUUUCGAUUUAUAUAAAUUUAAUUUAAUUUAAUUUUUAUUUUGUUUCAAAAAGAAAAUAACUUCUGAAUUUUAUUUGUUUAUAAAGCAUAUUUAAGAUCACAAAAUCAAAAAAAAAUAUUUCAAUUCACAAAAUUUAAAUAUACAUAUAAAUUUUAAUUUUAAUUUUGAUUGGUUCCACCUAAUAUUAUACUUGAUAUAUAAUUAUUAAGAGCUAAGCGUAAUCAUUAUCUAUUUACUUUCGUAUAAUAAAUAGAUAUCACAAUAACUCUUAAAAAAUGAAGAAAUAACGAAAAUGAGAUAAUACUAAUAAUAAUCACUAAAGAUUUUCUAGAACUAGUUAAAUUUCUUGUUAUCAAUCGUGUUAGUUUUUUGCUUGCAUAAAUUACAUUUUUACCUUCGAUCAUCAUUCACUUCAUAUAUAGAAAGAUGUUUCUAGAAUUAUUUAUUCUUGAUAAAUUAUUGUUAGAAUGAAAUUACAUUUUAUUCUUAGUCGUCUUUAAUACAAAGUAUCAUCCUAUUCAUUUUUUAUUUGUCAAGUUACUUUUUAAGAUCUUUUUCUUUAAUUUCAGUCUAAUAUAUAUUAUUAAUUUAUCACACUUAUUUAUUUUCAAGUAUAUUAUUAGAGUCAAAAUAAAGAUGAAAAUAAUUAAUUCAUGAUAACUUUUUAUAUAAAAAGUAGGCAUAUAUUAUAAGCAUAAUGAAUAGAAAAAAAUAUUAAGAAUUAAUUUAAAGUAAUAGUAAAGUAGAGUAAUUAUAAAAUAGAUAUCACAAUAACUCACAAAAGAAAAGAAAGUGAAGUGAUAACAAAAUAAGUUAAUGGUAAUAAUAAUAACUUAAAAUAUUUCUAGAACUAUUAUUUUUAUUUUUUUUUGUUAUCAUUCUUCAUAGAUUUUUGUUAGCAUGAAAUUAUAUUUUUGCUGUAACGACCUGUUUAGUCGUUUGGAGCAGCAGAGUUAAUUUCUGAAAAUCACUGUCUGGGUCGACGGAUCCCACGACAGACCGUCAUGGGCACGACGGACCGUCGAGGGUGUCUCGUGCCAAAACACUUAGAAUUUAGAAAUUUGGGUACUGAGAUCGACUCUCUGAACUUCACGACGAAAUGGCAGGACGGACCGUUGAGGGCUCGACGGACCGUCACAAAUCCUUCCGCAGAAUUAACUCUCUGAACCUUGUGACGGACGUGCAGGACGGACCGUCACAGUUGUGACGGACCGUCACAGGCUGCGUGACCCUGACUGGGUCGGAUUUCUGUUAAAUAUUUUAAGGGGCGUUUUGGACUAUUCCUACUUAUAAUUAUAAAGUUAGUGGUUUAAUGUUAAUAAUUUAAUUACUUGGGGGUUAAAAGAGAGAACCUUGAAACAAAUAGUGGGAUAUUUUAUCAUCUUUUAUACUUAAUUAUAUGCUAAUUAGGGUAAAAGAAAGAGGGUUUGAAUAAGAAAAAGAAAAAGAACAGAGAGAGAGGGAGAAACGAUCGAUUGAGAGAGAAGAAGAACGCAGCUUUGGGAAAGUAGAUUGCUUGAUCACAAUCCUUCGGUGGAGGUAGGUUAUGGUUUAUGCUAUUCGUAGUAAACUCUUAAUAGCGAAUGAUAUGUAUUGGGUAGUGUUGUAAACCCUUCUAUAUGCUUAAUUGUAUGCUUGCAUGAAUGUGAUUAUAUAAUUGUGAUAAAAUAAGCAUGAUGAAGCUAUUGAAUCCUAAAUCUUGAAAAUCCUAAUCUACUUUGUUAAUGAUGAUGCCUUGGUAUAAAAGAAGGCUUGAUGAACGAAAGUAGUAAGAUUAGGGGAUCGGAGUGUCACGUUCCGACACCAGGAUAGUAUAUGGAUCGGGUGCCACGUUCCGGUACCAGGAUAGUAUAUGAGGAUCGGAGUGUCACGUUCCGACACCAGGAUAGUAUAUGGAUCGGGUGCCACGUUCCGGUACCAGGAUAGUAUAUGAGGAUCGGAGUGCCACGUUCCGGUACAAGGAUAGUAUAUGAGGAUCGGAGUGUCACGUUCCGACACCAGGAUAGUAUAUGGAUCGGGUGCCACGUUCCGGUACCAGGAUAGUAUGAUGAGGAUCGGAGUGUCACGUUCGGACACCAGGAUAGUAUAUGGAUCGGGGUGUCACGUACCGACACGAGAGAAAUAAAGAUAAUGAAUCUUGAAAGAUGUUAAUAUACUCAAUUUAAUGAACCUAAUUCCCAAAUGAGUAUGAUGGGGAGGCGUGAGUCCUCAUUGAUGUGCUUGGUGUUGUGACCAAGAGUUAUGAUAAUUAUAAAUGCCGCAUGUUGAGUAUUGUAGUUGAUUUUAUGAUAUAUCUGAUAUAUACUAUUUUCUAUUUUGAGUUGGCCGAUGAUAUCUACUCAGUACUCGUGUUUUGUACUGACCCCUACUUGUAAUUGUUUUUCUUUGUUAUUUGUGGAGUGCAGCAAACGUACCGUCGUCUUCAACUCAACCGCAACUCUAGCCAGUCUUCAUUACACCGGAUUUCAGGGUGAGCUAACGCUUCUAGCUUGGACUGGAUCUUCUUCUUCAUGUCUUGAUGCCUUGAAGUUCCGGCAUGGACUAGCUUUUUAUUUAUUCUAGCUUUCUAAAUACUCUUAGAAUUAGUAAUUUGAGGAUAGAUGUUCUUGUGAUGAUGACUUCCAGAUUUUGGGAAUAAUAAGUAUUGAGUUUUUAGAAGUUAUUUAACCGAUUUUCAUUAAUGAGUUUAAGUCUUCCGCAUUAUAUUCUGUUUAUUAUGGUUCAAAUGUUGGGGUUUAGAUUGGUUGGUUCGCUCACAUAGGAGGGUAAGUGUGGGUGCCACUCGCGGCCCGCUUUGGGUCGUGACAUUUGCCCUUGAUUAUUAUUCACUUCAUAUAUAGAAAGAUGUUUCUAGUAUUAUCAAUUAUCUUGCUUAAUAGAUUUUUGUUAGCGUGAAAUUACAUUUUUGCCCUUAAUCGUCCUCCCACUUCACUCUUCUAUAUAAUUGAAUAGAAAUACAUUAUAUAAAAUAAAUAUUUAUAAAUGAUUAUAAGUUUUCUAUAUCCUUUUUAUAGUGAUUAAUUUACAAUAGGUAAAUGGAUAUGUAUGGGUAAUAAAAUAUAUAUGAGAAUAGUAAUUUAAUUGUGAUAUAUGGCAAAUUCAUCAAAUAGUCAGUCUCUAAUAAUUUAUAUAUUAGUAGUGAAGUAUAAUGUUAAAUUUUAAACGAGGAUUUACAUAACGUGAGAAAGACUUCUUUUCUUUUUUAUUUUCUCAAGAGAUUUUUACAUUUUAAAAUUAGUUUAUAACUUAACAUUAAAUUACUUUAUAUGUAUUUUACUUAUUCAAACUCUCACAUAAUUACUUGUACAUUUGUUUAUUUAUGGUCUUCAUAUAUAACCCCUAGUAUAGCCUUGCUAAACUAAAUUUUGAAAAUUAUUACUAGUAAGGUGUUUGUUUCCUCACCUCAUAUAUUUACAUCAUAUGCAUAAAAAUUAUGUAAAAUGAAUAACAUAUUUUUUUAUUUAUUUUUAAAGAGACUAGUUAUUUGGGGCCGCUAAAGCCUACUUCAAAAUUAGCAAAUCAAAAGAAAGGAAGUGUACCUAUCAACCAAGUAAAAAUGUCAACUACUUCUAAAAAGUUUGGACAAUUUUUAAGACUAUGAAAAUAUAGAGACAUAGUAAAAUAUUGCGUGAAUCACUUAAUAAAAUCGAAAACAUAAUAUAUUGGAGAUAGUUUUACUAAAAAUAAUUUUACAAUAAAAUUGAAAUGUGUACAUAUUUAUUGAAUUGUGGGUAUAGAGACAAUUUUUAAGCUUUUUUCUGAUUUACAUAUAUUAAAUCGCGAAAGAAGUCAUGUGUUCUUAAUAAAAUAAUCGCUAAUGGCAAUUAUAUUUGCUGCUAAAAUUCUUCCUCUAAAUAACUUAAUUUACACUUUUAGCGUUUAAGACGCAAUGUCCAUCUUAAACUAAUAAAUAUGAGAAAUAAAUAAACUCAAUUGGGGGAUAACAAUUUCUUAAUUAGUAUGUUAUAUAUACAUUAUUUCAAUUAUACUUUCGAGUUUUGAUAUUACGAAAAUAUAAUGUCAAACUUUAAAGACAAGAAUUUACAAAUGAGAACGACUUUUUUUUAAAAUAUAAUGUCAAACUUUAAAGACAAGAAUUUACAAACCAUGAGAACGACUUUUUUUUAUUAUACGUUUUAUUAUAUAUAUAUAUAUAUACAUACACACACACAUAUAUAUACAUAUAUCAUUGACUCUAUAUAUAUAAGAUAGGAAAGAGGUUAAAAUAUAUCAUUGAACUUUCAGAAAAAAACUCAUUUAUUCAUCAGUUAAAAGUUUGGCUCAUUUAUGCCAUUACCGUUUAAAAAAGAUUCAUUCUUGCCAUUAUUUUUUAAUAAUGGUUUCGCAAAACCAUUUUUAAUACGUGACCAAUUAUAAUCGGCUACGUCCUCAAUUUAUUUAAUUAAAAAAUCAUCAUUCUAAAAAAAAUUGAAUUCAUUUUUUUUGAUUUUUUUAUUAAAUAAAUUGAUGACAUGGCUAAUUAGAAUUCAGUGGGAUUUCUUAAAUUUGGGCGGGUCUUUAUUUGAGUGGGGUUUUUAUUUAAUGUUUUCUCAGAAUUGAUUUUUUAUCAAAAAAAAAUAAAAAAUGAUGUGGCCGAAUCAUAACUUGUCACGUGUGAAAAGUGGUUGGGCAAAAUCGCCGUUAAAAACUAAUGGCAUGAAUGAGUCUUUUCCUAAAUGGUAAUAACAUGAACGAGUCAAACUUUUAACGGAUGACAUAAAUGAGUCUUUUCUAAAAGUUCAACGGCAUAUUUGAGCUUUUUCCCUUAUUAAAAAAGUGGCUUACAUACACUCAUAUUAUUACAUAAAUAUUCUAAAAUAUACCAUUUUGUUCUAACGGGAGUGAAAACAAAUAUUUUUUUAAACAUAAUUUUUUAUUUUUAAGAAGUAAAAUCUGAAUAUAUUAUCUUCCACUUUCCUAGAAAAUAUUAUCCUACAAGAUUUUUUAUUUUUAAAAUUAAAAUUAAUAUUUUCACUUCCAUUAGAUGAUGAAGAUAUACCUGAAUCACUUUUAUAAUGGUAAGGAUAUGUAUGAACUCUUUUAAUUCAAAUGUGAAUUAUUUUAUAAUGAGCGAUAUAACAAUUUUAAAUUGCAAAGUUAUGAAGACCUUUUUAUUUAGGGAAAAGGGUCUGAUAUACCCCUCAACUUUGUCAUUUAGAGCUGAUAUGCCCCUUGUUGUGAAAGUGGCUCAUAUAUACCCUUACUUGUAAACAAAUGGCUCACAUAUACCCUUUUCCUCUAACGGAAAUGGAAAAAAAAAUAAUUUUAAUCUAAUUUUUUAAUAUUUUUUGUCUAAAAAUUAUAAUCCCAUAUGAGUAAAUUUAAUCCUCGUAAAACAUAUUUUUUUUAACCUUUUUUAGUUUCAAUGACUAAUUUAUAAUUAUUAUUUUGAUAAUCAAAUUUAUUUAUGUUUCACUAAUAUUCUUGUAAAACUUAUUGUAGAUAACCAAAUUUUUUCUUCGAAUAUGAAAUUAAAUUACAAUACACACAAAAAAUAGUUUAAAUUUUUUCUCUUUAAACUAAGGAUUGAAAGAAAAAACAUAAGAAUAAGAAACUCAAAUAAUUAUAAUAAAAAAAGUCAAAAAAUAAUUUAUAUAUGAAAAAAAUCAAAAUAUACCUUGAACUUUGAUAGAAGAAUCAUAUAUAUCCCUAAAUAAUUUUUUUAAAAAAUUACAAGUAAUAAAUAUCAAUUUAAAACUAAUUUUUUAACUUCCGUUAAAUGAAGGGUAUAUAUGAGCCAUUUUGUAACGGGAGGGGUAUAUGUGAGCCGUUUGUAUAACGGUAAGGGCAUAUAUGAGCCACUUUUAUAACGGGGGGUAUAUUAGCUCCAAAUAACAAAGUUGAGGAGUAUAUCAGACUCUUUUUCCUUUUAUUUAUUGUAUAAAAGCAUUUCAUAUACUAGUUACAUAUUUAAAUAUUGAAAAUGUUGAUAAGAGAUCCCAUUAAAUGCUAAAGUAUUGGUAUUUUAAAAAAAUUUCCUUUUAUUUAUUGUAUAUAUCUAACAUCUCGUAACUUCAAAUAACUAAGAAUAAACUAAGAAAUCAAGAAUAAUCAUUUUUGGAAAUAAAUAGGAAAUCUGAAAAAUUUCCCAAGUGUAAAAGUGAGUUUUUGGUCAAUUUCAAACGACCAUAACUCCCAGCUUAGGAGGAGUUAGUGUGAGUUCCUUAUAUGGUUGGAAAUCCCUUGGAAAGAAAUUUCCAACAACGCCAAGUUUGUACAUUUUAGAUGUCGUAUGAAGGAGAUAUGACUUUCGAAAGUUUGGUUGUUGGAGUGAGGAAAAUUCAAUCCGGAUUUAGUAAGGAUAAAGUAGUCUUUUCACCCUAGUAUUUUCUAAUUCGUUUUAAGGGUUUAUUAGGGGUAAAAUCAAGUCCAUAUUCAGUUUUGAAAAAGUUGAGAACGCUCAUGGCUUGGGAGAAAAGAGAAGAGAAAACCAAAAUUUCUUCAAGAACGCUAAGGUUUCGCUAGAGGAAUUCAUCGGGGGUGAUCUCUAUCGAGGUAUAUGAGAUCUUUCUAUGUUGGGUUCGUUCACCCACACACCAACAUGUUUAUUUAGCAAUUUUUGUAUUGAUUGAAUAAUGAAUCUUGAAGUUCUUGAUGAGCAAUUGUUGAAUCCUUAUUGGUAGAGUUGUAGUGUACCUUUAGUUGGUGUUGAUUCGUAUUUUCAGGCUGUUUUACGAGUCUAAACUAUUGGGUAUUGAGUAUAUUAGUGAUUGAUACGCUCAAACUUACUUUUUAAAUAAGAAGUAAAGCAGUAAAUGGGGGUUUCUAUUCCUAAAUAAAUGAAAAUAACUAGCGAAAUUAAAGGAGACAACUAACAACUUCGAAUGUUGGAGUUUAAUCACUUAAUCAAAGUAACUAGGGUUUACGUGUUCCCCACAGGUUCAUAACUUGAUAAUUCUAACUAUAACAAUUCUUUCCUAGUAUCUUGCAUGCAAAGUGAUAAGUUAUGUAUUUCUAAAUCCUUGGUCCGGCAUCUAGAAAAUUUCACUCGGCACCUUGGUCCGACUACGUGUGUUGCUAUACUAACCCUUAUAUUUACCUCAUAUUAAGCAUCGUAUUCGAUAUUUGACUAAGUUAUUACCCCGUACCAAUCAAUACUAGCCUAUUAGAUAGUAUACACUAAAUUUAUAUUGAUAAUUCUUUUCCUAUUAUCUUCCUCCUUGGUCCGACAAGUAGCAUUAAGGCGAGUUCUAACGUUGGCCAUCCGUUAAAAAGACUUCCAAGCGAAAGAAUUAUCAAUACAUGCAAGACACUAUUCUAGAAUUGUUAUUUUAGUUAGAUUUUACCUCAUUAUUCGCCUAUGGUUCCCACAACCCUAAUUAUGGAGUUUAGUUACCCAUAAUCAUAAUCACAAUAUUCAAAUAUAUGAUAUAAGAAUUCAUGCACUUACUUCAAUGAGAAAGAGUAAAAUCCAAAAGUUAGCUUGAUUAAUCAACAAUCAAUUACAAGAAUAUCAAAAUAAUCAAGAAUCUCACAAAAAGUCUAAAAAAUAAUCAAGAGUCUAACAAUAAUCAAGGGCCUAACCAAAUAAUCCAGAGUCUAACCUCAAAAACGAGGUUUUUCAAACUAUUUAUAAAAAAUAAAAACCUAAUUACAUAAGGACUCUAUUUGCUGGAAAUCUGUCAAAACGCGGCUGGGUCAACGGACCUCGCGACGCAUCGUCGUGGUCACGACGGACCGUCAUGGACACGACGGACCGUCAUGGACUCCGUCGUCCCAUACUUGAUGCAAUUUCUUAUGCUGCUCUCUUCAUUACUCUCGACAGCAGGUAUGAUGGAUCGUUACAGGCACAACGAUCCGUCGAGGGUCUCCGUUCCAAAACACUUGAACUCUUGGAAUAUGGGUACUGGGACUACUUCUCUGAACUUCAUGACGAACCUGCAGGACGGACCGUCAUGGAUACGACGGUCCGUCACGCAUUUUGUAACCCCACACUUGGUCAGACUUCCCCAUUUUCCUUCAGCAGCUGCACUACGUUGCCACCUACGGACCGUCACGAGCAUGACGGACCGUCACAAGCAUGACGGACCGUCACAAGCAUGACGGACCGUCACAAGCAUGACGGACCGUCACAAGCUCCGUAGGUGGUCUCUUCUGCAUUUCUUUGCUCAAAAACCUCCGCAUUCAUCUUUGGAUAGAUUUCCUGCAAAUAAGGAGAAACUUAUAUAAAAAUUAGCACAAAAAGAUUUUGGACACACUAACUUAAGGAAAAAAUAUUAAUAAUACCGUGACACCAUAGUAUAUCAGUGAUCCUAAGUGUUUGGGAAAAAUCCAUGAAUGUUUUGAAGGUUUAGAGUUGAAAAUCGGAGAAGAAAAGUCAGAAAACUCGUCUGACAGGUCUUGUGGCACCGUGCCUACAAGAGCCCCUCAGGACAGACUCUUUCUGUCAGGCUCUGGCGCGCCGCCGUGCCAGCUAGAGCGCCUGAAGACAGUGUCUGUCGGUCAGGCGCUGGUGCCCCGCGCCUCUCAGAGCGCCAGGGUCACCUGGAGAUUCUAUUUCUCUCCCAUCUUUUCGUACGAGUUCCUAAGUGACGUAUCUAUUAUUUCUAGUUAGUUCCAAUACUCUAAAGUAAAUAUAAACAUUAUGAAAUCAUCCAUAAUAAUGAGAUCAGGAUCCGUGAAUGCAUAAUCCAAUUCAAGGGAAGUUAAGAUCAAAGUCAAAAAAAGUUAAGAGUCAAGUCUAAAAGUUAAAAAACAAGUCAAAGUAAGUUCCUAAAGCAUUCAAGAGUCUUAAACAAACAUUUUAACUUUGUUUUAAGGUUCAAGCAAUGAGUUGAGCAAAGAGUAAAAGAGUUGAGUUAAAUUUUCAAAAGCUAUAAGGGAACUAAGUAUUCCCUAAGAGUUAAGUUUCAAGUUAAGCAAAUAGUAACAAGUUGAGUUCACUUCUCAAGAGUUAGAAGGGAACUAAGUAGUCUCUAACAGUUUAAACAAGAUGUUUUUAAACUUUUGAGAAAGAAAGGAAGCUAGACUUCCACAGAGCCUAUGACUAGUUUUAGUAAAAGAAAAAGGAAACUAUGAUUUCUAAGAAAGUUUUUGAAGCAAAGUUUGAGAAAUUAUCUCAAACUAGAGAAGAAGUUGUUUUAAAAAAACAUAUGAGCUAAGUAUUUUGGGAGUAGUAUUGAGCACCGAUAUGGUGACGCGAGUUCAUAUUAACUCAAGUCUCCAUAAACCAUUGAGCCAACAUGGAGAUAUAAAAGAUCAUACUUUUUAGAUGAUUCCUUAGUAAUUUUAGCAUAGACUAGUGAAUCCUCUUAGUAGUUCAGGUUCUAUAUCGACGACAAGGUAUAGAGUGGUCCUCUUGCAACAUGAGGUAAUACGUUGUACCAUCACUUAGGCUCAUAGAUGGUUGUCGGUUAGAUAAUCUCUCAAAGAAAUUAUAAUACUUUCAAAUAUAUGAGUAAAGUUGAGUUUAUUAUUGAUUUAUCUUUAAUGAACUAAGUGUUUACACUGUUUUACAAGCUUUUCUUAUAUCGCAUGUGUCCUUACUGCUUUAUAUUGAGUCGUUAUUAAUGAGUUGAGCAGAACCAAGGUAAGUUCUUCCUUACUCCUUUCAAGCCUUAUAGUAGUGUUUAGUAUUCCAAUUCGCAUACUCGUUUGGCCUGCAUGCAUCGUCUUAUAAUGCAGAAGCAGGUAAUUAGGAUCAACAUGCAGCACUUUGUUGAACCAGUUUGAGCUCUAGAGUCAGUGGUGAGCCUCCAUGCAUUUCGGAGGAUCCUUUUAUUGCUAUCUAGUUAGUUCAAUAGAAUGUUGUGGGGUUUGUCCCAACAUUCAUCUCAGUCAGUUUAGAGGUUUCAUAGACGGAUAGUAGUAGUUAAGUUGUGUCUCUUUAUUUCAGAUUCUAUAUUUGAGACUUAAGUGCAAAUUUGGCCAAGACAGUAUUUAAAGUCAUUUUUAUGAGAACUUCUUCAAUUCUAUAACUGAAUUAAGUUGAGUCUUCCGCUGAGUUAAGUAAGUCAGACCAAGAGUUCCCUUGAGGCCAGCAAUGGUCACCAAGUGCUAGUCCCACCCAGGGUAUAAGCUCGGAGCAUGCUAAUAUAUGCAUUUCAUAUACGACUUACGUAUUCAGAUACUUUUAACAUUUUGUUAGAGCAGAAGAGUCUUAACUUAUAUAUGUAGGUGAAGUAUUGAUAUAUUGGGAUAUUGGUACUUAUUAUUAUUUUACUUUAAUACUUAUUUAUAAGUCUACAACACACGGUAAGCACACACAAGGUGCUCAACAUGUGUGCUUGAAGUAAAUUUAAUUUUGAAUGAGGUUAAUUUGGUCAUUUUAUAUAAUACUCAAUGUUUCUUUUACUUGUACAAAAUGCAAAAUUGCUUUUAUGGACAUCAAAUGACCAAAAACCCAGUAUCCUUUAACUCAUUGUCAUAUGUUAUAGAACAUUGCAAUUGGUUGAAAAUGAACUUUAAUGUAGUUGCAAUAUAAUUAUUUUUACUUCUUGUCAAAACUGCCCCUAUGCGGCUUAAGCUUAUUUUAUCAACUAUUUGUUAUUACGUGGAGAAAUUAAAGACAUCUUUAGAUGAGUCCUUUUAAGCGGUACCGACCUAGAUAUAUAUAUUCUUUUCGUUUUAUUUAUGUCAUUUUUACUAAAAAUAGGUAAUAUUUAAUAUUUAUCAUUUCACAAAAGUAAUGCAUUAUAUAGUAAUGAAAUCGACUCUCUGAACUCUGUGACGGACCGUCACAGGUACGACGAACCGUCGUGAGCCCCGUUUCAAAACACUUCAACUCUUGAGAAUUUGGUACAGGGAACGAUUCUCUGAACGUCAUGACGGAGGUGCAGGACGGACCGUCGUAGGUACGAUGGGCGUCACAGACUCCUUAAGGAAAUCGAGUCUUUGACGAACCUGCAUGACGGACCGUCGCAGGCACGACGGGCCGUCGCAGGUUGCGCAAUCCCAGUCUAGGUCAGAUUUCUUUACACAUUUUAAGGGACGUUUUUGACUAUUCCUUCUUUAAUUAUAAAGUUAGUGGGUUAAUGUUAAUAAGUCUAAUUACUUGGGGGUUAAAGAGGUAACCUCAAGUUAAUUAGUGGGUUAUUAUUGCCAUCUUUCAUUCUUAAUUAUAUACUAAUUAGGGUAAAAGAAAGAGGGUUUGAAUAAAGAAAAUAGAAAGAACACAAAGAGAGAGAGGGAGAAUCGAACGAGAAGGUGAAAAGAAGAGGAGAAACACAAAGCUUUGGGAAAUUGCUUGCUUGAUUUCUUGUCUUCGGUGGAGGUAGGUUUUGGUUUUCAUGCUAUUCGUAGUAAACUCUUAAUAGCGAAUGAUAUGUGUUAGUAGUAUUGUAAACCCUUCUAUAUGCUUAAUUGUAUGCUUGCAUGAAUGAUGUGAUUAUGGAAUUAUGAAUAAAUAAGCAUGAUGAAGUUAUUGAAUCCCAAAUCUUGAAAAGAAACCUAAUCUACUUUGUUAAUGAUGAUGCCUUGGUAUAAAAGAAGGCUUGAUGAACGAAAGGGGUGAGAUUAGGGGAUCGAGUGCCACAUUCUGGUACCAGUAUAGAGAUAGAGGAUCGGGUGCCACGUUCCGGUACCAGGAUAGAAUGAGGAUCGAAGUGUCACGUUCCGACACCAGGAUAGUAUAUGGAUCGGGUGCCACGUUCCGGUACCAGGAUAGAAUGAGGAUCGGAGUGUCACGUUCCGACACCAGGAUAGUAUAUGGAUCGGGUGCCACGUUCCGGUACCAGGAUAGAAUGAGGAUCGGAGUGUCACGUUCCGACACCAGGAUAGUAUAUGGAUCGGAGUGUCACGUACCGACACGAGGGGAAUAAAUAUAAUGAAUCUUGUAAGAUGCUAAUAUACUCAAUUUAAUGAAACUAAUUCCCAAAUGAGUAUGAUAUUGAGGCUUGAGUCCUCACGUGUGAACUUGACGGUAUUUGUUAAUGAUAUAGUACUUGUUGUUGCUACAUGUUGAGUAUCAUAGUUGAUUUUAUGAUAUUGCUUAAUAUAUAUUGUUUUCUAAUUUCGAGUUGACCGAUGAUAUCUACUCAGUACCCGUGUUUUGUACUGACCCCUACUUUUGUGUUUUCUUCUUUGUUAUUUGUGGAGUGCAGCAAACAUGCCGUCGUCUUCGACUCAACAGUAUUCAAGCCAGUCUUUACUACACCGGAAAUUCAGGGUGAGCUAAUGCUUCUAGCUUGGACUGGAUCUUCUUCUUCAAGUCUUGAUGCCUUGAACUUCCGGCAUGGACUAGCUUCUUAUGUAUUUUUAGCUUCUUAGACAUUUUUAGUUAGUAAUUUGAUCAUAGAUGUUCUUGUGAUGAUGACUUCCAGAUUUUGGGGAAUAAUAGUUAUUGAAUUGGUUUUUAUUUAAUGAGCUUAAGUCUUCCGCAUUAUUUUCUAUUGAUAUACGUUGAAAUGAUAAGGUUUAGAUUGGUUGGUUCGCUCACAUAGGAGGGUAAAUGUGGGUGCCAGUCGCGGCUCGGUUUUGGGUCGUGACAAACCUUGUAUCAGAGCAUUAGGUUCGUUGGUCUCAUCACACAAGAACGAGUCUAGUAGAGUCUUAAGGAACGGUAGGGGGGCGCCUUUACUUUUCUUUGAGGGGCUAUAAGACUUUAGGAAAUUCCAUUCUUUCUUAUCUCUUUCGUGAUACUACUUGAAUCCAAUUGGUAUCUAGGUGAUUCAAAUUGGUAUCUGACCAUCUUCACUCUAUUUCGCAGAUGGUUAGAACUAGAUCAACGACUGCGCCAACACCAACACCGGCAAGACAAGAAACGUCUGAGCCAGCCACUGGGGCUGUGGCUCAAGGAAGAGCAAUAGCAAGAGGUCGUGGUAGAGUUCGUGGGAGGACGUCCUCUAGAGGGAGAGGACGAGUACCUAGCCCAUCUGAUGCUAGGGCGGUGACUCCUCCACCGACUGAGGAAGUAGUAAGAGAGGGUGAGGAAGGGGAGAAUGAACAAGUGCAAAAUGAUGAAUUGCCACCCCAACCUACCCCAGAGAUGAUCAAUCAGGUUCUCGCUUAUCUUAGUGGGUUAUCUGAUUAGGGCCAGACACCUCCAGUGUUUUCUGCACCAGUACCUCAGGUUCCGGAGGUACAACAUGCGGCUACUAUGGCUCCUCGUAUGGAUGCCUCAUUGGACAUAGGCACGUUUCCACGUCUGACUACUGGGCCUAUAAUGACAAAUGAUCAGCAUGAACUUUUCAGUAAGUUCUUGAAAUUGAAACCCCAGUCUUCAAGGGUGCUGAAUCUGAGAAUGCUUACGAUUUUCUGGUUGACUGUCAUGAGCUACUACACAAGAUGGGUAUAGUAGAACGGUUUGGUGUUGAGUUCGUGAGUUAUCAGUUUCAAGGGAACGCCAAAAUGUGGUGGCGGUCACAUGUUGAGUGUCAACCAACAGAGGCACCACCUAUGACUUGGGCCUCAUUCUCUAGCUUGUUUUGGAGAAGUGUGUCAACCAACAGAGGCACCACUAUGACUUGGGCCUCAUUCUCUAGCUUGUUUAUGGAGAAGUAUAUCCCCCAGACUUUGAGGGAUAGGAAAAGGGAUGAGUUCUUGAGCCUAGAUCAAGGUAGGAUGUCGGUUAAUGCAUAUGAGGCUAGGUUUCGCGCACUAUCCAGGUAUGCCACUCAACUUUGUUUCAGUCUACAAGAGCGGAUUCGCCGGUUUGUGAAGGGGUUGAGGUCAGAGUUGCGGAUUUCGGCCUUACAGGUAGCGGCUACGGCAAAAUCCUUCCUAGAAGUGGUAGACUUCGUGAUAGAGGUGGAAGGAGUGAAGCCCAAUGACUUCACCUCGACAUCGACAUCAAAAAGGUUUCGAAAGGGAGGUGAGUUUAAUGGUUCUUACCCUAGGGGAUAGGGUUUCGGAGGUUACUCAGUCCGACCGAUUCAGUCUUCACUACAGACUGUAGUUGGGGGUCCACCUCAGCCGGUCAAAACUUCCUGAGGAGACCUAUGCAUGAACCAAGAAAGUGCUAUGGAUGUGGGUUUCAAUUUUGGAGAUUAAAUAAAUAUUAAUUUUGAAGAUAAAUAAAAAAAAGAUUUACUAACCUACACCAGGCGAAGAUCCCACUUUGAAACCCGCGACGAAGAAAACUUUUGAAAACUCUUACCGCGAUGAGGGUGAAAGAGUAAAAUCAUUUUCUGGAAAAUAAUGAAAACGAGGGGAAAAGCGUAAUAAGAUUUAAGGCAAUUUAGUCUAUGUGGUAGUGCCCUAUUGACAGCAAUAUGGAAUUCAACAUAGCGAAUUUAACAACUUCUCUUAUUAGAAGGGCAUUUUGACACAAUAGUUUCACGGAAGGGUACUUUUUGAGCCGAAAUAUACUUUUAAGGGUAAAUAUGAGUUAUUUUCAGAUAUUUAAGAGUAUUUUUUACUCCUUUUACCUUUUAGUCUACGUGGUAGUGGACCCUAUUGACCGUGCAAUGUGAUGGCAUUUUACAAUUCAUUACAGAAUUGCACUUUUUGACACAAUAGUUUUGACGGGGAGGAGAGUUUUUUGAGCGGAAAUAUAAUUUAAAGGUAAAUAUGAAUAUUUCAGAUAGUUUAAGGAUUCUUUGAGACCCUUUUAUGUUUAAAACUAUAAUGAAUCUUAAUGUCAAAAAACAUUGUAUAAAAUUAAAGGAAAUUAAAAUUCAUGGACAGAUGGUAGGCUAUACUGAAUAUGUUGUAGUAAACAAACAUAUAUAAAACUAUUAAGUUGUAUAAUAUUUUUUAUUUAUUAUAAUCAAACAAAUAAAGUUAUCUUUAAAAUUAAAAUAAAAUGAUUACAUGGAGUCCCAUGAAACAAAAUUUUUGUGACUCUUGAAAAAGAUUACUGGAUACUUCUAGAAAAUAUUUUGACCACUGAUUAUGCAAUUAAUAAAGUUGUAAUUUUGCCCAUAAUAUGUUUAAAUUACAAUAUUGUCAUUGUCCAUCCUAAUCAUGGAAUCUUCUAUAUAAUAGAAAUAUAAUAACUAGAUUCAAGGGUGCCCGUGCUAACGCCAACGCAACGUAUGUUGAUUUUUCUCUUCCAAUUUUAUGUGACAAAAAUGAAUUUGAAAAAAUGAACUAAAUUUUUUAUAUGUGUUUUUUUUUAAAAAAUAUUUUAAAUUAUUAAUUUAUGUACUCUUUUUUGUUGUCAUUUUUGAAUAUAUCUGUUACUUUAUCUAUUUUAUUUUUUAUGAAAUACAGUGAUUUUAGGAAAGUAAACGAAAUUUCUUAUAUGAUUUUCAAUAUAUUUUUAGUUUGUCCAUUUUACUGCGAUUCAUAGUUACUUUUAGUUAUUCACGUUAUUUUCAAACAAUAUAUGCCAAGCUUUUUUUUUGUUUCAAUAAAAAUAAGGGAGUUUCAACAAAAUUUCAUUAUCGGGUUUUACUCAUUUUUUCUAAAAAUUAUUUUAUUGUUCAUUGCUUUUUAAAGUUUUUUUUAAUGUAACUUUCAAAUAUGUAACAAUUUAGAAAUUAAACGAAGAUUAAAGUUUUCAAUCAUUAUAUUUCUAUAAUUAAGAAAAUUAAAUCGCUUUUAAAACUACAUAUAUAUUGCAUAAAUUAGUAAGAAGGAAGCCAACAACUUAUUUUUUAAAAAAAUAUUGAGAGCUCAUUUUUAAAUAGUAAUACAUAAUAUUUCAUUUUUCAUCAUCGAAUCCCUGCUUUUCGGAUUUUAUAUAAAUUAUAAUUUAAUUUAAUUAUUUUUAUUUGUUCAAAAAGAAAAUAACUUCUGAAUUUUAUUUGUUUAUAAAGAUAUUUAAGAUCACAAAAUCAAAAAAAAAAUAUUUCAAUUCACAAAAUUUAAAAAUAUACAUAUAAAUUUUAAUUUUAAUAUUUGAUUGGGUUCACCUAAAUAUUAUACUUGAUAUAUAAUUAUUAAGAGCUAAGCGUAUCAUUAAUCUAUUUACUUUCGUAUAAUAAAUAGAUAUAGCAAUAACUCUUAAAAAAUGAGAAAUAAAAACGAAAUGAGAUAUACUAAUAAUAAUCACUAAAGAUUUUCUAGAACUAGUUUAAAUUUCUUGUUAUCAAUCGUGUUAGUUUUUUUGCUUGCAUAAAUUUCAUUUUUACUUCGAUCAUCAUUCACUUCAAUAUAUAGAAUAAUGUUUCUAGAAUUAUUUAUUCUUGAUAAAUUAAUUGUUAGAAUGAAUUACACAUUUUAUCUUAGUCGUCUUAUACAAAGUAUCACCUAUUUUUUUUAUUUGUCAAGUUACUUUUUAAGAUUUUUUAUUUAUUUCAGUCUACUAUAUAUUAUUAAUUUAUCACACUUUAUUUAUUUUCAAGUUAUUAUAGAGUCAAAAUAAAGAUUGGAAAAUAAUUAAUUCAUGAUACUUUUUAUAUAAAAAGUAGGCAUAUAUUAUAAGCAUAAUGAAUAGAAAAAAAUAUUAAGAAUUAAUUAUUAAGUAAUAGUAAAGUAGCAGUAAUUAUAAAUAGAUAUAACAAUCUCACAAAAGAAAAGAAGUGAAGUGAUAACAAAAUAAGUUAAUGGUAAUAAUAAUACUUAAAAUAUUCUAGAACUAUUAUUUUUUUUUUUUUUUGUUAUCAUUCUUCAUAGAUUUUUUUUGUUAGCCAUGUGAAUUAUAUUUUGCCUGUAACGACCUGUUUAGUCGUUUGGAGCAGCAGAGUUAAUUUCCUGAAAAUCACUCGUUGGGUCGAUCGGAUCCACGACGAAACCGUUUCAAAAAAUGGGCCCAAAAAAAAAACGAACCGGACGUCGAGGGUGUCUCGUGCCAAAACACUUAGAAUUUAGAAAUUUGGUACUGAGAUCGACCUCUGAACUUCACGACGAAAUGGAGGACGGAACCGUUGAGGGGCUCGACGGACGUCAAAAUCCUUACCGCAGAAUUAACUCUCUGAACCUUGUGCACGGAACGUGCGGACGGACCGUCAAGUUGUGACGGACCGUCACAGGCUGCGUGACCUGACUGGUCCGGAUUUUCUGUUAAUAUUUUAGGGCGCGAUUUUGGACUAUUCUACUUUUAUACACUUAUCAAGUUUAGUGGUUUAAUGGUUAAUAAUUUAAUUACUUGGGGUUUAAAGAGAGAACCUUGGAACAAAUAGUGGGAUAUUUUAUCAUCUUUUUAUACUUAAUUUAUAUGCUAAUUGGUAAAAGAAAGAGGGUUUGAAUAAAAAAGAAAAAAGAGCAGAGAGAGGGGAGAACGAUCGAUUGAGAGAGAAGAAGAACGCAGCUUUGGGAAAGUAGAUUGCUUGAUCACAAUCCUUCGGUGGAGGUAGGUUAAUGGUUUACUUGCUAUUCGUAGUAAACCUUAAUUAGCGAAUGAUAUGUUUUGGGUAUGUUGUAAACCCUUUAUAUGCUUAUUGUAUGCUUUGCAGAAGUGAUUAUUAUUGUGAUAAAUAAGCAUGAUGAAGCCUUUGAUCCUAAAUCUUGAAAAUCCUAAUCUACUUUGUUAAUGAUGAUGCUUUGGUAUAAAGAAGGCUUGAUGAACGAAAGUAGUAAAGAUUAGGGGAUCGGAGUGUCACGUUCCGACACCCAGGAUAGUAUAUGCGAUCGGGUUGCCAACGUUCCGGUACCAGGAUAGUAUAAUGAGGAUCGGAGUGUCACGUCGACACCAGGAUAGUAUAAGUGGAUCGGGUGCCACGUUCCGGUCCAGGAUAGUAAUAAUGAGGAUCGGAGUGCCACGUUCCGGUACAAGGAUAUUAUAUGAGGUCGGAUGUCACGUUCCCGACACCAGGAUAGUAUAGUGGAUUCGGGUGCCACGUUCCGGUACCAGGAUCAGUAUGGAUGAAGGAUCGGAGUGUCACGUUCGACACCAGGAAUAGUAUAUGGAUCGGGGUGCUCAGUACCAGACACGAGAGAAAUAAAGAAUAAUGAUCUUGAAAGAUGUUUAAUUAACUCAAUUUAAAUGAACGCUAAUUCCAAAUGAGUAUAGAGGGGAGGCAGUGAGUCCUCAUUGAUUGUGGCUUGGUGUUGUUGACCAAGAGUUAUGAUAAUUAUAAAUGCGCAUGUUGAGUAUUGUAGUUGAUUUUAGAUAUAUCUGAUAUAUAUCUGUUUUCUAUUUUUGAGUUGGCCGAUGAUAUCUACUCAGUCUCGUAGUUUUUGUACUGACGCCCUACUUGUAAUUGUUUUUGUCUUUGUUAUUUGUGGAGUGCAGCAAACGUACGUCGUCUUCAAUCAACGCAAACUCUAAGCCCGUCUUCAAUUACAACCGGAUUUCAGGGUGAGCUAACGUUCCUAGCUUGGACUGGAUCUUUUCUUCAUGUCUUGAUGCCUUGAAGUUCCGGAAUGGACUAGUUUUUUUAUUUAUUCUAUAGCUUUUCUAAAUACUCUUAGAAUUCAGUAAUUUGAGGAUAGACUUGUUCUUGUGAUGAUGACUUCCAGAUUUUGGGAAUAAUAAGUAUUAGAGUUUUUAGACGUUUAUUACAUUCAACAAGAUUAUAUACAUAUAUAAGAAGAUUUAGUCUUUCCGCAUUAUAAUUCUGUUUAUUAUGGUUCAAAUGUUGGGGUUUAGAUUGGUUGGUUUCGCUCACAUAGGGGGUAGUGUGGGUGCCACUCGGGUCCCGCUUUGGUCGUGACAUUUGCCCUUGAUCUAUUAUUCACUUUACAUAUAUAGAAGAUGUUUCUAGUAUUAUAUCAAUUAUCUUUGCUUAUAGAUUUUUGUUAGCGUGUGAAAUUAAUUUUGGACCUUAAUCGUCCUCCACUUCACUCUUCUAUAUAAUUGAAUAGAAAUAACAUUAUAUAAAAUAAAUAUUUAUAAAUGUUAUAAGUUUUCUAUAUCCUUUUUUUAUAGUGAUUAAUUAACAAAUAGGUAAAUCGGAUAUGUUCGGGUAAAAUAAAUAUAUAUGAGAAUGUAUUUAUUGUGAUAUAUGGCAAUUCAUCAAUAGUCAGUCUCUAAUAAUUUAUAUAUUAGUAGUGAAGUAUAUGUUAAAUUUUAAAACGAGGAUUUUACAUAAGUGGAGAAGACUUCUUUUCUUUUUUAUUUUCUCACGAGAUUUUACAUUUUAAAAUUAGUUUAUAACUUAACAUUAAAUUACUUUAUAUGUAUUUUACUUAUUCAAACUCUCACUAUCAAUAUUGUACAUUUGUUUAUUUUUGGUCUUCAUAUUAACCCUAGUAUAGCCUUGCUAAACUAAAUUUUGAAAAUUAUUAUAGUAAGGUGUUUGUUUCCUCACCUCAUAUAUUUACAUCAUAUGCAUAAAAAUUAUGUUAAAUGAAUCAACAAUAUUUUUUUUAUUUAUUUUUAAGAGAGCUAGUUAUUUGGGGCCGCUAAAGCCUACUUCAAAAUUAGGCAAAUCAAAAGAAGGAAGUGUACUAUCAACAAGUAAAAAUGUCAACCUACUCUAAAAAGUUUGGACAAUUUUUAAAGAUAACUGAAAUACUAGAGACAUUAGUAAAUAUUGCGUGAAUCACUUAAUAAAUCGAAAAACAUAAUAUUUUGGAGAUAGUUUUACUAAAAUAUUUUUAACAAUAAACUUGAAUGUUGUACAUAUUUAUUGAAUUGUGGGUAUAGAGACAAUUUUUAGCUUUUUUUCUGAUUUAACAAUAUAUUAAUCGCGAAAGAAGUCAUGUGUUCUUAAUAAAUAAUCGCUAAUGGCAAUUAUUUGCUGCUAAAAAUUCUUCCUCUAAUAAACUUAUUUACACUUUUAGCGUUUAAGACGCAAUGUCCAUCUUAAACUAAUAAUAUUUGGGAAAAAAAAAGGAGGAAAUAAAUUAAACUCAAUUGGGGGAUAACAAUUUUCUUUUAAUUAGUAUGUUAUAUAUACAUUAUUUCAAUUAUACUUUCGAGUUUUUGAUAUACGAAAAUAUAAUGUCAAACUUUAAGAGCAAGAAUUUACAAAAUGAGAACGACUUUUUUUUAAAAUAUAAUGUCCAAACUUUAAAUGACAAGAUUUACAAACCAUGAGACCGACCUUUUUUUUUAUUAUAACGUUUUUUUAUAUAUUAUAUAUAUACAUACACACACACAUCUAUAUCCAUAAUAUCAUUGACUCUUAUUAUAGAUAGGAAAGAGGUUUAAAAUAUAUCAUUGAAACUUUCGAAAAAAACUCAUGUUAUUCAUCAGUUUAAAAGUUUGGUCUCAUUUAUGCCAUUAACCUGUUUAAAAAGAUUCAUUUCUUGCCAUUAUUUUUUAUAAUGGUUUUCGCAAAACCAUUUUUAAUACGUGACCAAUUUAACUCGGCUACGUCCUCCCAUUUAUUUAAUUAAAAAUCAUCAUUCUAAAAAAAAUUGCAUUCAUUUUUUUUUUGAUUUUUUUAUUAAUAUUUGAUGAAUGGCAAUUGAAUUCAGUGGAUUUUCUUAAUUUGGGCGGGUCUUUUAUUUGAGUGGGGUUUUAUUUAUGUUUUUCUUCAGAAUUGAUAUCAAAAAAAAAUAAAAAAUGAUGUGGCCGAAUCAUAACUUUGUCACGUGGUGAAAAGGGUUGGGCCAAAUCGCGCCGUUAAAAACUAAUGGCAGAAAUGAGUCUUUUUCCUAAAUGGUAAUAACAUGAACGAGUUCAAACUUUUAACGGAUCACAUAAUGAAGAUCUUUUCUAAAAGUUCAACCGGCAUAUUUGAGCUUUUUCCCUUAUUUAAAAAAAGUGCUUACAUAACACUCAUUUAUUACAUAAAUAUUUCUAAAAUAUACCAUUUUUUCUAACGGGAGUGAAAAAAAUAUUUUUUUAAACAUAAUUUUUUCAUUUUUUUAAGAAAGUAAAAUCUUGAAUAUAUUAUCUUCCACUUUCUAGAAAUAUUUAUGCCUACAAGAUUUUUUUUUAUUUUUAAAAUUAAAAUUAAUAUUUUCACUUCCAUUAGAUUGAUGAAGAUAUAUCUGAAUCACUUUUUAUAAAAUGGUAAGGAUAUGUAUGAACUCUUAUUUAAUCAAAAUGUGAAUUAUUUUUAUAAUGAGCGAUAUAAAAAUUUUAAUUGCAAAGUUAUGAAGACUUUUUAUUUAGGGAAAAGGGUCUGAUAUACCCCUCAACUUUCAUUUAGAGCUGAUAUGGCCCUUGUGUGAAAGUGGCAUCAUAUAUACAUUAGCUUGUAAAACAAAUGGCUCACAUAUACCCUUUCCUCUAACGGAAAUGGAAAAAAUAAUCUUUACUAAUUUUUUAAUAAUUUUUUUGUCUAAAAAUUAUAUCCCAUAUGAGUAAAUUUAAUCCGUCGUAAAACAUAUUUUUUUUAAACCUUUUUUUAGUUUCAAAUGACUAUUUAUAAUUAUUAUUUUGGAUAAUCAAAUUUAUUUAUGUUUCACUAAUAUUCUUGUAAAGACUUAUUGUUAGAUGAACCAAUUUUUUCUUCGAUACCGAAUUAAAAUUACAAUACAGCACAAAAAAUAGUUUAAAUUUUUUCUCUUUAAACUAAGGAAUUGGAACAGAAAACAUAAGAAUAGAAAACUCAAAUAAUUAUAAUAAAAAAGUCAAAAAAUAAUUUAUAUAAUGAACAAAUAAAUAUCGCUGAACUUUUGAUAGAAGAAUCAUAUAUAUCCCUAAAUAAUUUUUUUAAAAAAUUAAGUAAUAAAUAUGCCAAUUUAAACUAAUUUUUUUAACUUCCGUUAAAUGAAGUGGUAUAUAUGAAGCCAUUUUGUAACGUGGAGGGGUAUAUGUGAGCGCAGCCGUUUGUAUACACGGUAAGGGCAAUAUAUGAAGCACUUUUAUAACGGGGGCGUAUUAUUAGCUCAAUAAACAAAGUUGAGGAGUAAUAUCAGACCUUUUUCUUUUAUUUAUUGUAUAAAAGCUUUCAUAUACUAGUUACAUAUUUAAAUAUUGAAAAUGUUGAUAAGAGAUACCCAUUAAAUGCUAAAGUAAUUGGUAUUGUUAAAAAAUUUCCUUUUAUUUUAUUGUAAUAUAUCUAACAUCCUCGUACUUCACUAACUAAGAAUAAAACUAAGAAUCAAGAAUAAUCAUUUUUUUUGGAAAUAAAUAGGAAAUUCCUGAAAAAUUUACCAGUUGUAAAAAGUGAGUUUUUGGUCAAUCUUCAAACGACCAUAACUCCCAGCUUAGGAGGACGUUUAGGUGUGAGUUCCUUAUUGGUUGGAAAUCCCUUGGAAAGAAAUUUCCAAACGCCAAGUUUGUACAUUUUAAGAUGUGCGUAUGAAGGAGAUAUGAUUUCGAAAGUUUUGGUUUGUUGGAGUGAGGAAAAUUCAAUCCGGAUUUAGUAGGAUAAAGUAGUCUUUUCACUCUAUAUUUCUAAUUCGUUUUUAAAGGGUUUUAUUAGGGGUAAAUCAAGUCCAUAUUCAGUUUUGAAACAGUUGAGAACGCUCAUGGCUUGGGAGAAAAGAGAGAGACCAAAUUUCUUCAAAGAAGCUCAGGUUUCGCUAGAGGAAUUCAUCGGGGGUGAUCUCUAUUCGAGGUAUAAUGAGUAUCUUUCUUAUGUUGGUCGUUCACCCCACACACCACUGUUUUAUUUAGACAAUUUUUGUAUUGAUUGAAUAAUGAAUCUUGAAGUUCUUGAUGAGCCAAUUGUUGAUCCUUAUUGGUAGAGUUGUAAGUGUCUUUAGUUGGUGUUGUUCGUAUUUUCAGGCUGUUUUACGAGUCUAACUAUUGGGUAAUGAGUUAGUAUUAGUGAUUGAUACGCUCAAACUUACUUUUUAAAUAAGAAGUAAGCAGUAAAUGGGGUUUCUAUCUCCUAAAUAAAUGAAAAUACUAAAGCGAAAUUAAGGGGACAACUAACCUUCGAUGUUGGAGUUUAAUCACUUAAUCAAAGUAACUAGGGUUUACGUGUUUCCCCCCACAGGUUUCAUAACUUGAUAAUUCUAAAUAUAACAUUCUUUUCUUUUCUUGUAUCUUGCAUUUGCAAGUGAUAAGUUAUGUAUUUCUAAAUCCUUGGUCGCGGCAUCUAGAAAAUUUUCACUCGGCAACCGGUUGGUCCGACUACGUGUGGUUUUCGCUAUAAUAACCCUUAUUAUUUACCUCAUAUUAAGCAUCCGUAUUCGUAUUUGACUAAGUUAUUACCCCGUACCAAUAAUAUCAGCCCUAUUACGAUAGUAUACACUAAAUUUAUUAUUGGAUAAUUUUUCUAUUUCUUCUCUCUUGGUCCGACAAGUAGCAUUAAAGCGCGAGUUCCUAACGUUGGCCAUCCGUUAAAGACUUCCAAGCGAAAGAAUUAUCAAUACAUGCAAGACACUAUUCUAGAAUUGUUAUUUUUACGUUGAUUUUACUCAUUAUUCGCCUAUGGUUCCCAACUACCCUAAUUAUGGAGUUUAGUUACCAUAAUCAUAAUCAAAUAAUUCCAAAUAUAUGAUAUAAGAAUUCAUGCACUUACUUCAAUGAGAAAGAGUUAAAGAUCAAAAGUUACGCUUGUUAUCACAAUCAAUUACAAGAAUAUAAAUAUCAGAAUCUCACAAAAAGUCCUAAAAAAUAAUCAAAGAGUCUAACAAUAAUCAAGGGCUAUACCAAUAAUCCAGAGUCUACCUCAAAAACGAGGUUUUUUCAAACUAUUUAUAAAUAAAACUAAUUACAUAAGGACUCUAUUUUGCUGGAAAUCUGUCAAACGCGGCUGGGUUCAACGGACCUCGGCGACGGAGCGUCGUGGUCACGACGGCUCCGUCAUGGAACGACGGACCGUCAGUGGAUCCGUCGUCCGCAUACCUUGAUGCAAUUUCUUAUGCUGCUCUCGCUCUUCAUUACCCUCGACGCAAGGUUGAUGGAUCGUUACAGGCACAACGAUCCGUCGAGGGUCUCCGUUCAAAACACUUGAACUCUUGGACAUAUGGGUACUGGGACUACUUCUCUGAACUUAUGCGAUGACUGCAGGACGGACCGUCAUGGAUACGACGGUGUCACGCAUUUUGUUAAACCCCACCCUUGGUCAGACUUCCCAUUUUUCGCUUCAGGCAGUGCUACGUUGGCCACCUACGGACCGUCACGAGCAUGACGGACCCGUCACAUAGGCAUGACGGAACGUCACAAGCAUGACUGGACCGUCACAGCAUGAGGACGGUCACAAGCUCCGUAGGUGGUCUCUUCUGCUAUUCUUUGCUCAAAACCUCCGCAUUCAAUUUUUGGCUAGAUUUCCUGAAAUAAGGAGAAACUUAUAUAAACAUUAGCAGCAAAAAGAAUUUUUUGGACAGCACUAACUUAAGGAAAAAAUAUUAAAUAAUACGUGAACCAUAGUAUAUCAGUGAUGCCUAAAGUUGUUUGGGAUAAAUCAUGAAUGUUUUGCAGGUUUAGGUUGAAAAUGCGGAGAAGAAAAGUCAGAAAACUCGUUGACAGGUCUUGUGGCAAUUCCGUGCUACAAGAGCCCUCAGGACAGACUCUUUCUGUCAGGCUCUGGCGCGCCGCCGUGCAGCUAGAGCGGCCUGAAGACAGUGUCUGUCGUCAGGCUCUGGUGCCCCGCGCCUCUCAGAGCGCAAGGGUCAGCCUGGUGAUUCCUUAUUCUCUCUCACCAUCUUUUCGUACGAGUUCCUAAGUGACGGUUCUAUUAUUUCUAGUUCGUUCCAAUAACUCUAAGUAAAUAUAAAACAUUAUGAAAUCAAUCCUAUAAUGAAUCAGGAUCGUGAAUUUUUGCAUAAUCCAAUCAAGGGAAGUUAAGAUCAAGUCAAAAAAGUUUAAGAGUCAAGUUAAAAGUUAUAAAAAACAGUUCAAAGUAGUUCCUAAAGCAUUCAAGAGUUUUAACAAACAUUUUACUUUGUUUUAAGGAUUCAAGCAUGAGUUGAGCAAAAGAGUAAAAGAGUUGAGUUAAAUUUUCAAAAGCUAUAAGGGAACUAGUAUUCCCUAAGAGUUAGUUUUCAAGUUAAAGCAAAUAGUAACAAGUUCGAGGUUCAGCUUCUCAAGAGUAGAAGGGAACUAAGUAGUCUCUUAACAGUUUAACAAGAAUGUUUUUCAACUUUUGAGAAGAAAGGAAGCUAAGACUUCCACAGAGCCUAUGAAUGUUUUAGUUAAAAGAAAAAGGAAACUAUGAUUUCUAAGAAAGUUUUUGAAGCAAAGUUUGAGAAAUUCAUCUCAAACUAGCAGAAGCAAGUUGUUUUAAAAAAACAUAUGAGCUAAGUAUUUUGGGAGUAGUAUUGAGCACGAUAUGGUGAGCGCGAGUUCAUAUUAACGUCAAGUCUCCAUAAACCAUUGAGCAACAUGGGAUAUAAAAGAUAUACUUUUAGAUGAUUCGCUUAGUAUUUUAGCAUAGAUAGUGUGAUCCUCUUAGUAGUUUCAAGGUUCUAUACGACGACAAGGUAUAGAGUGGUCCUCUUGCAACAUGAGGUAAUACGUUUGUAACCAUCACUUAGCUCAUACGAUGGUUGUCCGUUAGAUAAAUCUCUCAAAGAAAUUAUAAUACUUUCAAAUUAUAUGAGUAAAGUUGAGUUUUUUAUUGAUUUAUCUUUAAUGACUAAGUGUUUACCUGUUUUUUCAAGCUUUUCUUUUAAUAUCGCCAUGUGAUCCUAUACUGGCUUUAUAUUGAGUCGUUAUUAAUUGAAGUUGAGCAGGAACCAGGUAAGUUGCUUCCUUACUCCUUUCAAGCCUUAUAGUAGUGUUUAGGUAUUGCCAUUACGCAUACAUCGUUUGGCUGCAUGCAUAGUCUUUAAUGCCAGAAGCAGGGUAAUUAGGAUCAACAUGCAGCACUCUUGUUGAACCAGUUUGAGGCUCUAGAGUCAAGUGGUCGAGCCUCAUGCAUUCGGAGGAUCCUUUUUAUUGCUAUCUAGUUAGUUCAAUAGAUGUUGUGGGGUUUGUCCCAACAUUCAUCUCAGUCAGUUAGAGGGUUUCAUAUGACGGAUAGUAGUAGUUAGUUGUUCUCUUUUAUUUCAGAUUCUAUUAUUUGAGACUUAGUGCAAAUUUUGGCCAAGGACAGUAUUUAAAGUCAUUUUUAUGAGAGUUCUUGCAUUCUAUAGACUGAAUUAAGUUGAGUCUUCUGUGAGUUAAGUAGUCAGACCACGAGUUCCCUUGAGGGCGCAGCAUGGUCACCAGUGCUAGUCCAACCCAGGGUAUAAAUGCUCGGAGCAUGCUAAUAUAUGCAUUUUUCAUAUACGACUUACGUAUUCAGAUACUUUUAACAUUUUGUUUAGAGCAGAAGAGUCUUAACUUAUUAUGCUAGGUGAAGUAUUGAUAUAUUGGGAUAUUGGUACUUAUUAUUAUGUUUACUUUAAUCUUAUUUAUAAGUUACAACACACGUAAGCACACACAAGGUGCUCAACAUGUGUGCUUGAAGUAAAAUUAAUUUUGAAUGAGGUUUAAUUUGGUCUUUUAUAUAAUACUCAAUGAUUUUCGCUUUUUUACCAACUUUUAAAACACACUUGUAAAAAUGCAAAAUUGCUUUUAUGGACAUCAAAUGACCAAAAACCGCGCGAGUAUCCUUUAACCUCAUUGUAUAUGUUAUAGAACAUUGCAAUUGGUUGAAACUGAACUUUAAAUGUAAGUUGCAAUUUAUUAUUUUUCUUCUUGUCUAAAACUGCCCUAUGCGGCUUAAGCUUUAUUUUUAUCAACUAUUUGUUUAUUAGUGGAGAAAUAGCUCUUUAGAUGAGUCCUUUUAAGCGGUACCGCGAGCUAGGAUAUUAAUAUAUGUCUUUUCGUUUUAUUUUAUGUCAUUUGUUACUAAAAAUAGGUAAUAUUAAUAUUUAUCAUUUCACAAGUAAUGGUAAUCAUUAUAUAGUAAUGAAAUCGACGUCUCUGAACUCUGUGACGGACGUCAGGUACGACGAACGUCGUGAGCCCGUUUCAAAACACUUCAACUCUUGAGAAUUUUGGUACAGGGAACGAUUCUCCUGAAACGUCAUGACGGAGGUGCAGGACGGACCGUCGAGGUCGAUGGCCGUCACAGAUCCUUAAGUGAAUCGAAGUCCUUUGACGAACCUGCAUGACGGCCGUCGCAGGCACGACGGGCCCGUGCGCAGGUUGGCAUCAGUCUAAGGUCAGAUUUCUUUACACAUUUUAAGGGACGUUUUUGACUAUUCCUUCUUUAAUUUAAAGUUAGUGGUUAAUGUUAAUUAAGUUAAUUACUUGGGUUGGUUAAAGGGUUAAACCUCAAGUUUAAAUUAGUGGGUUAUUAUUGCAUCUUUCAUUCUUAAUUAUAUACUAAUUGGUAAAAGAAAGGGGUUUUGAAUAAAGAAAAUAGAAGAACACAUAAGAGGAGGGGAGAUAUCGAACGAGAAGGGAUAAAAGAAGAGGAGAACACAAAGCUUGGGAAAUUGGCUUGCUUGGAUUUCUUGUUUCGGUGGAGGUAGGUUUUGGUUUUCAUGGCCUAUUCGUAGUAAACUUUAAUAGCGAAUGAUUGUGUUAGUAGUAUUGUAAACCCUUCUAAUUGCUUAAUUGUAAUGCUUGCCAUGAAUGAUGUGAUUAUCGGAAUUAUUGAAUAAAUAAGCAUGAUGAAGUUAUGGAAUCCGCAAUCUUGAAAAGAACCCUAAUUACUUUGUUAUGAUGAUGCCUGGUAAUAAAAGAAGGCUUGAUGAAGCGAAAGGGGUGAGAACAUAAAUCAAAUGGAGUGAGCUCAAAUUUAGUGAAUUUUUUUUUAAAAAAUAUUUUGUUGUUUAACAAUUUUUAAAAUGAAAAUGCUAAACCUUUUUCACAAUUAUGUUUUAUAGUUUUUUUAUCAAUAUCUAGUCGAUGAUAACCAUAAUUUUAAUAUAAAUAAUAUAAUAAGGUAACUUAAUUCUGAAAUUCAAGUAUUGAUAUUUUUGAGAAAAUAUUUAUUUAUAAAUUGUAAAACAUUCAUAAUCUAAUAUUUAAUAUGUUUCUUACUCUCAACGAAUGACACUAAUUCAUCAUGAUUCAAAAUUGUAAGAAGUAAAAAUCAAUACUAAAAAGUGCAACUCAUUAUUAUAUGAAGUUUAAUAUGUAGUUUAUCUAUUGUCGAAAGUUUUCCAAGUAUAUGAUAUAUAAUUCUAUGAUAAAUUAAUUUUUGAUCCCAUAUAUUUAUACUAUUUUCAAAUUUAUCCCGUUAAUUGAUUAUAUAUUUUCUUAAACUACAAUUACGCGAUCAUUAUUUAUCAAUUCUACUUUAUCAACUUUAUAUUCUUCUUUUUAUAUCUUUAGAAUUGUGCUAUUUUUGUUUUCUUAUUUAAGUUACAAUUUUAAAGAUAAAAUAAAUAUUUUUGGAGAUAAAAUAAGUUAAAUAAAAAACUAUAUGAAUACUUAUGUUGAAAAAAAAUAUAUAUAAUUAAAAAAUUGUCCUAUUUUUAUUUUCUUAUUUAAGUCACAAUUUUUAAAGAUAAGAUAAAUAUUAUUUUGAGAUAAAAUAAGUUAAAUAAAACUAUAUGAAUACUUUUGUUUAGAAACAUUAUAUAUAAUUAAAAAAAUUACAUAUAUGAAAGAUUUUAUAAAUUAUACUGGUUAUGUUGUAGUAGUAAUAAACAUAGAUGAACAAUUUGUAUUGUCAAGAGUAUAAAAAUAAAAAUAUUUUUCACAUUAUUAUUAUAUCAAACAAAUACAAAUUGAUUUUCAAAAAGAAUAAUAAAAUGUAUUUGUGGGUCACACAUGAAACAAAAAUAUGUGAUUCUUGAAAAAAAAAUAAUAGAUUCUUCUAGAAAACUAUUUUGACAAUUAAUUAUACAAUUAUAAAUUUAAAACUUAACCCAUAAAAAUAAUUAAAAUUACAAAAUUGUCAUUGAUUGGCCUCAUCAUGACUCUUAUGUAUAAUAGAAACUAGAUAAUUGAAGGCCCGUUCAUGGGCUCAAUAUAAUUAAUUAUUUUUUUCAAUUUUAAGUUAAAAAAAUUAUCCAAAUUAAUAUCUUAUUUUAUCAUAGUUUCUAAAAUUUUCUACUAUUUAAACAAUUACAAAAAUGUCCUCUAAGAUACAUUCUUAUCCUCUGUCGGACACAUCAGUAUCUCCUCUCGAAUACAUUCCUAUCAUUUCUUGAAUACAUCUUUAUCUCAUCCUGAAACAUCCAUAUCCUCUCUGGGAUACAUCUCUCCCCUUUCGGAUACAUUCAUUCUCUCUCGAAUACAUCCCUACCUUCUCGAAAUCAUCGUGAGCUCUAUGUCUGCAAGUUUCCUCAAUAGCAAUGUAUCACGAUCGAUGUAUCCGCAUGUGUUGAUUUAUCUGAAAUUAUUUAAUUUUAAAAAGAUUUCGUAAUUUGAAAAAAGUAGGAAUAUAAUGUAAUUAACUCUUUACUCUAUGACAUAUUUUUCUUUGUAGUCAGUUUCAAAAGAAUGAUGUAUAACAUAUUUAAAUAACAUUUUGACUUUAAAAUAUUCAUUCUAUUCUUAGUAAUAUUAUUUAUAGUCAUAUGAACAUCUAUGGUUUGUUUUAGACCAUGAGUUUUAGAAGUGUUUUUUCUUUUAAAAAUUUUCGUGUUAAGUUAAAUUAAAAUUCCAUAAACCGAAAGGGAGUGAGUACAAACUUUAGAUCAAUUUUAUAUUUAUAAAAUUAAAGUUUUUGUAACUAUUUUGUCUUUUAACAAAAUUUAAAAUGAAAUAAUUCACAAUUAUUUUUAUAGUAUUUUUUUAAAAUCAAUAUUCUAUCAAUAAUAAUAAAUUUUUUUUAAUUUAAAUAAGAUAAUAAAGUAUUUUAAUUUUGAAAUUCAUGUAUUGAUAUCAAUUGAGAAAAUAUUUAAUUUUAAGUUGUAAAACAUUCAUAAUCUAAUAUUUAAUGUGCUCCUUACUCUCGAUGAAUGACACUAAUUUAUAAUAAUUCAAGAUUGCAAGAAGUAGAAAUCGAGACUAAAACGUGCAACUCACUAUUAUAUGAAGGUCACUAUGUAAUUUAUCUAUUGUGGAAGUCUCAUUAGUAUAUGAUAGAUAAUUCUAUGCCAAAUUAAUUUUUGUUUUCAUAUAUUUAUACAAUUUCAAAAUUUAUCCCGUUAAUUGGUUAUGUAUUUUAUUAAACUACAACUGCACUCAUUAUUUCAUCUUUUUUUUUUAUUCUUACAUUAUCAACUCUAUUUUUUUAUCUCUUUAGAAUUGUGAUACUUUUGUUUUCUUAUUUAAAUCACAAUGUUUUAAAGAUAAAACAAAUUUUAUUUUGGAGAUUAAAUAAAUAUUAUUUUGAAGAUAAAAUAAAAAAAAGAUUUACUAACCUACAACCAGGAAGAUCCACUUUGAAACCCAGCGACGAAGAAAACUUUGAAACUCUUAGCCGCGAAAUGAGGGUGAAAGAGUAAAAUCAUUUCUGGAAAAUAAUGAAACGAGGGGGAAAAAAGCGUAAUAAAGAUUUAAGGAAUUAGUCUAUGUGGUAGUGGACCCUAUUGACAUGCAAUAUGGAAUUCACAUAGCAUUUAACAACUUCUCUUAAUUAGAAGGGCAAUUUUGACCCAAUAGUUUCACGGAAAGGGUACUUUUGAGCCGAAAUAUACUUUAAGGGUAAAUAUGAGUUAUUUCAGAUAGUUUAAAAGUAUUUUUUACCCUUUUACUUUUAGUCUACGUGGUAGUGGAACCCUAUUGACGUGCAAUGUGAUGGCAUUUAACAACUUCCAUUAAUAAGAAUUGCACUUUUGACACAAUAGUUUGACGGGGAGGAGAGUUUUGAGCGGAAAUAUAAUUUAAGGUAAAUAUGAAAUAUUUCAGAUAGUUUAAGGAUAUCUUUGACCCUUUUAUGUUAAAACUAUAUGAAUACUUAUGUCUAAAAAACAUUGUAUAAAAUUAAAAGGAAAUUAAAUCAUGGAAGAUGGUAGGUUAUACUGAAUAUGUUGUAGUAACAACAAACAUAUAUAAACUAUUAAGUUGUAUAAAUAUUUUUUAUUUAUUAUAAUCAAACAAAUAAAAGUUAAUUUUUAAAAAUUAAAUAAAAUGAUUACAUGGAGUCACCAUGAAACAAAACUUUUUGUGACUCUUGAAAAAGAUUAUUGGAUACUUCUAGAAAAUUAUUUUGACCACUGAUUAUGCAAUUAUAAAGUUGUAAUUUUGCCCAUAAAUAAUGUUUAAAAUUACAAUAUUGUCAUUGGUCAUCCUAAUCAUGACUCUUCUAUAUAAUAGAAAUAAUAAUAACUAGAUAUCAGGUGCCCGUGCUAACGCAAACGCAACGUAUGUUAGAUUUUUCUUCUUCCAAUUUAUGUGACAAAAAUGAAAUUUGAAAAAAAUGAACUAAAUUUUUUAUAUGUGUUUUUUUUAAAAAUAUUUUAAAUUAUUAAUUUAUGUAUCUUUUUUGUCAUUUUCGAAUAAUAUAUGUUACUUUAUCUAUUUUAUUUUAUAUGAUACAAGUGAUUUUAGGAAAGUAAACGAAAUUUCUUAUAUGAUUUUCAUAUAUUUUUAGUUGUCAUUUUACUGCGAUUCAUAGUACUUUUUAGUUAUUACGUUAUUUUCAAACAAUAUAUGCAACUUUUUUUUUGUUUCAAUAAAAAUAAGGGAGUCAACAAAAUUUCAUUAUGUUUUUUCAACUACAUUUUUCUAAAAAUAUUUUAAAUUGUUACAUUGCUUUUUAAAGUUUUUUUAAAUGUAACUUUCAAAUAUGUAACAAAUUAGAAAUUAAAACGAAGAAUUAAAGUUUUCAAAUCAUUAUAUUUCUAUAUUAGAAUAUUAAAACCUUUAAAACUACAUAUAUAUGCAUAAAUUAGUAGAAGGAAGCCUAACAACUUAUUUUUAAAAAAAUAUAUGAGAGCUCAUUUUAAUAGUAAUACAUACAUAUUUCAUUUUUCAAUAUCCGAAUCCCUCCUUUUCGAUUUAUAUAAAUUUAAUUUAAUUUAAUUUUUAUUUUGUUUCAAAAAGAAAAUAACUUCUGAAUUUUAUUUGUUUAUAAAGCAUAUUUAAGAUCACAAAAUCAAAAAAAAAUUUCAAUUCACAAAAUUUAAAUAUACAUAUAAAUUUUAAUUUUAAUUUUGAUUGGUUCCACCUAAUAUUAUACUUGAUAUAUAAUUAUUAAGAGCUAAGCGUAAUCAUUAUCUAUUUACUUUCGUAUAAUAAAUAGAUAUCACAAUAACUCUUAAAAAAUGAAGAAAUAACGAAAAUGAGGUAAUACUAAUAAUAAUCACUAAAGAUUUUCUAGAACUAGUUAAAUUUCUUGUUAUCAAUCGUGUUAGUUUUUUGCUUGCAUAAAUUACAUUUUUACCUUCGAUCAUCAUUCACUUCAUAUAUAGAAAGAUGUUUCUAGAAUUAUUUAUUCUUGAUAAAUUUUUGUUAGAAUGAAAUUACAUUUUAUUCUUAGUCGUCUUUAAUACAAAGUAUCAUCCUAUUCAUUUUUUAUUUGUCAAGUUACUUUUUAAGAUCUUUUUCUUUAAUUUCAGUCUAAUAUAUAUUAUUAAUUUAUCACACUUAUUUAUUUUCAAGUAUAUUAUUAGAGUCAAAAUAAAGAUGAAAAUAAUUAAUUCAUGAUAACUUUUUAUAUAAAAAGUAGGCAUAUAUUAUAAGCAUAAUGAAUAGAAAAAAAUAUUAAGAAUUAAUUUAAAGUAAUAGUAAAGUAGAGUAAUUAUAAAAUAGAUAUCACAAUAACUCACAAAAGAAAAGAAAGUGAAGUGAUAACAAAAUAAGUUAAUGGUAAUAAUAAUAACUUAAAAUAUUUCUAGAACUAUUAUUUUUAUUUUUUUUUGUUAUCAUUCUUCAUAGAUUUUUGUUAGCAUGAAAUUAUAUUUUUGCUGUAACGACCUAUUUAGUCGUUUGGAGCAGCAGAGUUAAUUUCUGAAAAUCACUGUCUGGGUCGACGGAUCCCACGACAGACCGUCAUGGGCACGACGGACCGUCGAGGGUGUCUCGUGCCAAAACACUUAGAAUUUAGAAAUUUGGGUACUGAGAUCGACUCUCUGAACUUCACGACGAAAUGGCAGGACGGACCGUUGAGGGCUCGACGGACCGUCACAAAUCCUUCCGCAGAAUUAACUCUCUGAACCUUGUGACGGACGUGCAGGACGGACCGUCACAGGCUGCGUGACCCUGACUGGGUCGGAUUUCUGUUAAAUAUUUUAAGGGGCGUUUUGGACUAUUCCUACUUAUAAUUAUAAAGUUAGUGGUUUAAUGUUAAUAAUUUAAUUACUUGGGGGUUAAAAGAGAGAACCUUGAAACAAAUAGUGGGAUAUUUUAUCAUCUUUUAUACUUAAUUAUAUGCUAAUUAGGGUAAAAGAAAGAGGGUUUGAAUAAGAAAAAGAAAAAGAACAGAGAGAGAGGGAGAAACGAUCGAUUGAGAGAGAAGAAGAACGCAGCUUUGGGAAAGUAGAUUGCUUGAUCACAAUCCUUCGGUGGAGGUAGGUUAUGGUUUAUGCUAUUCGUAGUAAACUCUUAAUAGCGAAUGAUAUGUAUUGGGUAGUGUUGUAAACCCUUCUAUAUGCUUAAUUGUAUGCUUGCAUGAAUGUGAUUAUAUAAUUGUGAUAAAAUAAGCAUGAUGAAGCUAUUGAAUCCUAAAUCUUGAAAAUCCUAAUCUACUUUGUUAAUGAUGAUGCCUUGGUAUAAAAGAAGGCUUGAUGAACGAAAGUAGUAAGAUUAGGGGAUCGGAGUGUCACGUUCCGACACCAGGAUAGUAUAUGGAUCGGGUGCCACGUUCCGGUACCAGGAUAGUAUAUGAGGAUCGGAGUGUCACGUUCCGACACCAGGAUAGUAUAUGGAUCGGGUGCCACGUUCCGGUACCAGGAUAGUAUAUGAGGAUCGGAGUGCCACGUUCCGGUACAAGGAUAGUAUAUGAGGAUCGGAGUGUCACGUUCCGACACCAGGAUAGUAUAUGGAUCGGGUGCCACGUUCCGGUACCAGGAUAGUAUGAUGAGGAUCGGAGUGUCACGUUCGGACACCAGGAUAGUAUAUGGAUCGGGGUGUCACGUACCGACACGAGAGAAAUAAAGAUAAUGAAUCUUGAAAGAUGUUAAUAUACUCAAUUUAAUGAACCUAAUUCCCAAAUGAGUAUGAUGGGGAGGCGUGAGUCCUCAUUGAUGUGCUUGGUGUUGUGACCAAGAGUUAUGAUAAUUAUAAAUGCCGCAUGUUGAGUAUUGUAGUUGAUUUUAUGAUAUAUAUCAUAUUAUCUGAUAUAUACUAUUUUCUAUUUUGAGUUGGCCGAUGAUAUCUACUCAGUACUCGUGUUUUGUACUGACCCCUACUUGUAAUUGUUUUUCUUUGUUAUUUGUGGAGUGCAGCAAACGUACCGUCGUCUUCAACUCAACCGCAACUCUAGCCAGUCUUCAUUACACCGGAUUUCAGGGUGAGCUAACGCUUCUAGCUUGGACUGGAUCUUCUUCUUCAUGUCUUGAUGCCUUGAAGUUCCGGCAUGGACUAGCUUUUUAUUUAUUCUAGCUUUCUAGAUACUCUUAGAAUUAGUAAUUUAAGGAUAGAUGUUCUUGUGAUGAUGACUUCCAGAUUUUGGGAAUAAUAAGUAUUGAGUUUUUAGAAGUUAUUUAACCGAUUUUCAUUAAUGAGUUUAAGUCUUCCGCAUUAUAUUCUGUUUAUUAUGGUUCAAAUGUUGGGGUUUAGAUUGGUUGGUUCGCUCACAUAGGAGGGUAAGUGUGGGUGCCACUCGCGGCCCGCUUUGGGUCGUGACAUUUGCCCUUGAUUAUUAUUUACUUCAUAUAUAGAAAGAUGUUUCUAGUAUUAUCAAUUAUCUUGCUUAAUAGAUUUUUGUUAGCGUGAAAUUACAUUUUUGCCCUUAAUCGUCCUCCCACUUCACUCUUCUAUAUAAUUGAAUAGAAAUACAUUAUAUAAAAUAAAUAUUUAUAAAUGAUUAUAAGUUUUCUAUAUCCUUUUUAUAGUGAUUAAUUUACAAUAGGUAAAUGGAUAUGUAUGGGUAAUAAAAUAUAUAUGAGAAUAGUAAUUUAAUUGUGAUAUAUGGCAAAUUCAUCAAAUAGUCAGUCUCUAAUAAUUUAUAUAUUAGUAGUGAAGUAUAAUGUUAAAUUUUAAACGAGGAUUUACAUAACGUGAGAAAGACUUCUUUUCUUUUUUAUUUUCUCAAGAGAUUUUUACAUUUUAAAAUUAGUUUAUAACUUAACAUUAAAUUACUUUAUAUGUAUUUUACUUAUUCAAACUCUCACAUAAUUACUUGUACAUUUGUUUAUUUAUGGUCUUCAUAUAUAACCCCUAGUAUAGCCUUGCUAAACUAAAUUUUGAAAAUUAUUACUAGUAAGGUGUUUGUUUCCUCACCUCAUAUAUUUACAUCAUAUGCAUAAAAAUUAUGUAAAAUGAAUAACAUAUUUUUUUAUUUAUUUUUAAAGAGACUAGUUAUUUGGGGCCGCUAAAGCCUACUUCAAAAUUAGCAAAUCAAAAGAAAGGAAGUGUACCUAUCAACCAAGUAAAAAUGUCAACUACUUCUAAAAAGUUUGGACAAUUUUUAAGACUAUGAAAAUAUAGAGACAUAGUAAAAUAUUGCGUGAAUCACUUAAUAAAAUCGAAAACAUAAUAUAUUGGAGAUAGUUUUACUAAAAAUAAUUUUACAAUAAAAUUGAAAUGUGUACAUAUUUAUUGAAUUGUGGGUAUAGAGACAAUUUUUAAGCUUUUUUCUGAUUUACAUAUAUUAAAUCGCGAAAGAAGUCAUGUGUUCUUAAUAAAAUAAUCGCUAAUGGCAAUUAUAUUUGCUGCUAAAAUUCUUCCUCUAAAUAACUUAAUUUACACUUUUAGCGUUUAAGACGCAAUGUCCAUCUUAAACUAAUAAAUAUGAGAAAUAAAUAAACUCAAUUGGGGGAUAACAAUUUCUUAAUUAGUAUGUUAUAUAUACAUUAUUUCAAUUAUACUUUCGAGUUUUGAUAUUACGAAAAUAUAAUGUCAAACUUUAAAGACAAGAAUUUACAAAUGAGAACGACUUUUUUUUAAAAAUAUAAUGUCAAACUUUAAAGACAAGAAUUUACAAACCAUGAGAACGACUUUUUUUUAAUUAUACGUUUUAUUAUAUAUAUAUAUAUAUAUAUACAUACACACACACAUAUAUAUACAUAUAUCAUUGACUCUAUAUAUAUAAGAUAGGAAAGAGGUUAAAAUAUAUCAUUGAACUUUCAGAAAAAAACUCAUUUAUUCAUCAGUUAAAAGUUUGGCUCAUUUAUGCCAUUACCGUUUAAAAAAGAUUCAUUCUUGCCAUUAUUUUUUAAUAAUGGUUUCGCAAAACCAUUUUUAAUACGUGACCAAUUAUAAUUCGGCUACGUCCUCAAUUUAUUUAAUUAAAAAAUCAUCAUUCUAAAAAAAAUUGAAUUCAUUUUUUUUGAUUUUUUUAUUAAAUAAAUUGAUGACAUGGCUAAUUAGAAUUCAGUGGGAUUUCUUAAAUUUGGGCGGGUCUUUAUUUGAGUGGGGUUUUUAUUUAAUGUUUUCUCAGAAUUGAUUUUUUAUCAAAAAAAAAUAAAAAUGAUGUGGCCGAAUCAUAACUUGUCACGUGUGAAAAGUGGUUGGGCAAAAUCGCCGUUAAAAACUAAUGGCAUGAAUGAGUCUUUUCCUAAAUGGUAAUAACAUGAACGAGUCAAACUUUUAACGGAUGACAUAAAUGAGUCUUUUCUAAAAGUUCAACGGCAUAUUUGAGCUUUUUCACUUAUUAAAAAAGUGGCUUACAUACACUCAUAUUAUUACAUAAAUAUUCUAAAAUAUACCAUUUUGUUCUAACGGGAGUGAAAACAAAUAUUUUUUUAAACAUAAUUUUUUAUUUUUAAGAAGUAAAAUCUGAAUAUAUUAUCUUCCACUUUCCUAGAAAAUAUUAUCCUACAAGAUUUUUUAUUUUUAAAAAUUAAAAUUAAUAUUUUCACUUCCAUUAGAUGAUGAAGAUAUACCUGAAUCACUUUUAUAAUGGUAAGGAUAUGUAUGAACUCUUUUAAUUCAAAUGUGAAUUAUUUUAUAAUGAGCGAUAUAACAAUUUUAAAUUGCAAAGUUAUGAAGACCUUUUUAUUUAGGGAAAAGGGUCUGAUAUACCCCUCAACUUUGUCAUUUAGAGCUGAUAUGCCCCUUGUUGUGAAAGUGGCUCAUAUAUACCCUUACUUGUAAACAAAUGGCUCACAUAUACCCUUUUCCUCUAACGGAAAUGGAAAAAAAAAUAAUUUUAAUCUAAUUUUUUAAUAUUUUUUGUCUAAAAAUUAUAAUCCCAUAUGAGUAAAUUUAAUCCUCGUAAAACAUAUUUUUUUAACCUUUUUUAGUUUCAAUGACUAAUUUAUAAUUAUUAUUUUGAUAAUCAAAUUUAUUUAUGUUUCACUAAUAUUCUUGUAAAACUUAUUGUAGAUAACCAAAUUUUUUCUUCGAAUAUGAAAUUAAAUUACAAUACACACAAAAAAUAGUUUAAAUUUUUUCUCUUUAAACUAAGGAUUGAAAGAAAAAACAUAAGAAUAAGAAACUCAAAUAAUUAUAAUAAAAAAAGUCAAAAAAUAAUUUAUAUAUGAAAAAAAUCAAAAUAUACCUUGAACUUUGAUAGAAGAAUCAUAUAUAUCCCUAAAUAAUUUUUUAAAAAAAAUUACAAGUAAUAAAUAUCAAUUUAAAACUAAUUUUUUAACUUCCGUUAAAUGAAGGGUAUAUAUGAGCCAUUUUGUAACGGGAGGGGUAUAUGUGAGCCGUUUGUAUAACGGUAAGGGCAUAUAUGAGCCACUUUUAUAACGGGGGGUAUAUUAGCUCCAAAUAACAAAGUUGAGGGGUAUAUCAGACUCUUUUUCCUUUUAUUUAUUGUAUAAAAGCAUUUCAUAUACUAGUUACAUAUUUAAAUAUUGAAAAUGUUGAUAAGAGAUCCCAUUAAAUGCUAAAGUAUUGGUAUUUUAAAAAAAUUUCCUUUUAUUUAUUGUAUAUAUCUAACAUCUCGUAACUUCAAAUAACUAAGAAUAAACUAAGAAAUCAAGAAUAAUCAUUUUUGGAAAUAAAUAGGAAAUCUGAAAAAUUUCCCAAGUGUAAAAGUGAGUUUUUGGUCAAUUUCAAACGACCAUAACUCCCAGCUUAGGAGGAGUUAGUGUGAGUUCCUUAUAUGGUUGGAAAUCCCUUGGAAAGAAAUUUCCAACAACGCCAAGUUUGUACAUUUUAGAUGUCGUAUGAAGGAGAUAUGACUUUCGAAAGUUUGGUUGUUGGAGUGAGGAAAAUUCAAUCCGGAUUUAGUAAGGAUAAAGUAGUCUUUUCACCCUAGUAUUUUCUAAUUCGUUUUAAGGGUUUAUUAGGGGUAAAAUCAAGUCCAUAUUCAGUUUUGAAAAAGUUGAGAACGCUCAUGGCUUGGGAGAAAAGAGAAGAGAAGAGAAGAGAAAACCAAAAUUUCUUCAAGAACGCUAAGGUUUCGCUAGAGGAAUUCAUCGGGGGUGAUCUCUAUCGAGGUAUAUGAGAUCUUUCUAUGUUGGGUUCGUUCACCCACACACCAACAUGUUUAUUUAGCAAUUUUUGUAUUGAUUGAAUAAUGAAUCUUGAAGUUCUUGAUGAGCAAUUGUUGAAUCCUUAUUGGUAGAGUUGUAGUGUACCUUUAGUUGGUGUUGAUUCGUAUUUUCAGGCUGUUUUACGAGUCUAAACUAUUGGGUAUUGAGUAUAUUAGUGAUUGAUACGCUCAAACUUACUUUUUAAAUAAGAAGUAAAGCAGUAAAUGGGGGUUUCUAUUCCUAAAUAAAUGAAAAUAACUAGCGAAAUUAAAGGAGACAACUAACAACUUCGAAUGUUGGAGUUUAAUCACUUAAUCAAAGUAACUAGGGUUUACGUGUUCCCCACAGGUUCAUAACUUGAUAAUUCUAACUAUAACAAUUCUUUCCUAGUAUCUUGCAUGCAAAGUGAUAAGUUAUGUAUUUCUAAAUCCUUGGUCCGGCAUCUAGAAAAUUUCACUCGGCACCUUGGUCCGACUACGUGUGUUGCUAUACUAACCCUUAUAUUUACCUCAUAUUAAGCAUCGUAUUCGAUAUUUGACUAAGUUAUUACCCCGUACCAAUCAAUACUAGCCUAUUAGAUAGUAUACACUAAAUUUAUAUUGAUAAUUCUUUUCCUAUUAUCUACCUCCUUGGUCCGACAAGUAGCAUUAAGGCGAGUUCUAACGUUGGCCAUCCGUUAAAAAGACUUCCAAGCGAAAGAAUUAUCAAUACAUGCAAGACACUAUUCUAGAAUUGUUAUUUUAGUUAGAUUUUACCUCAUUAUUCGCCUAUGGUUCCCACAACCCUAAUUAUGGAGUUUAGUUACCCAUAAUCAUAAUCACAAUAUUCAAAUAUAUGAUAUAAGAAUUCAUGCACUUACUUCAAUGAGAAAGAGUAAAAUCCAAAAGUUAGCUUGAUUAAUCAACAAUCAAUUACAAGAAUAUCAAAAUAAUCAAGAAUCUCACAAAAAGUCUAAAAAAUAAUCAAGAGUCUAACAAUAAUCAAGGGCCUAACCAAAUAAUCCAGAGUCUAACCUCAAAAACGAGGUUUUUCAAACUAUUUAUAAAAAAUAAAAACCUAAUUACAUAAGGACUCUAUUUGCUGGAAAUCUGUCAAAACGCGGCUGGGUCAACGGACCUCGCGACGCAUCGUCGUGGUCACGACGGACCGUCAUGGACUCCGUCGUCCCAUACUUGAUGCAAUUUCUUAUGCUGCUCUCUUCAUUACUCUCGACAGCAGGUAUGAUGGAUCGUUACAGGCACAACGAUCCGUCGAGGGUCUCCGUUCCAAAACACUUGAACUCUUGGAAUAUGGGUACUGGGACUACUUCUCUGAACUUCAUGACGAACCUGCAGGACGGACCGUCAUGGAUACGACGGUCCGUCACGCAUUUUGUAACCCCACACUUGGUCAGACUUCCCCAUUUUCCUUCAGCAGCUGCACUACGUUGCCACCUACGGACCGUCACGAGCAUGACGGACCGUCACAAGCAUGACGGACCGUCACAAGCAUGACGGACCGUCACAAGCUCCGUAGGUGGUCUCUUCUGCAUUUCUUUGCUCAAAAACCUCCGCAUUCAUCUUUGGAUAGAUUUCCUGCAAAUAAGGAGAAACUUAUAUAAAAAUUAGCACAAAAAGAUUUUGGACACACUAACUUAAGGAAAAAAUAUUAAUAAUACCGUGACACCAUAGUAUAUCAGUGAUCCUAAGUGUUUGGGAAAAAUCCAUGAAUGUUUUGAAGGUUUAGAGUUGAAAAUCGGAGAAGAAAAGUCAGAAAACUCGUCUGACAGGUCUUGUGGCACCGUGCCUACAAGAGCCCCUCAGGACAGACUCUUUCUGUCAGGCUCUGGCGCGCCGCCGUGCCAGCUAGAGCGCCUGAAGACAGUGUCUGUCGGUCAGGCGCUGGUGCCCCGCGCCUCUCAGAGCGCCAGGGUCACCUGGAGAUUCUAUUUCUCUCCCAUCUUUUAGUACGAGUUCCUAAGUGACGUAUCUAUUAUUUCUAGUUAGUUCCAAUACUCUAAAGUAAAUAUAAACAUUAUGAAAUCAUCCAUAAUAAUGAGAUCAGGAUCCGUGAAUGCAUAAUCCAAUUCAAGGGAAGUUAAGAUCAAAGUCAAAAAAAGUUAAGAGUCAAGUCUAAAAGUUAAAAAACAAGUCAAAGUAAGUUCCUAAAGCAUUCAAGAGUCUUAAACAAACAUUUUAACUUUGUUUUAAGGUUCAAGCAAUGAGUUGAGCAAAGAGUAAAAGAGUUGAGUUAAAUUUUCAAAAGCUAUAAGGGAACUAAGUAUUCCCUAAGAGUUAAGUUUCAAGUUAAGCAAAUAGUAACAAGUUGAGUUCACUUCUCAAGAGUUAGAAGGGAACUAAGUAGUCUCUAACAGUUUAAACAAGAUGUUUUUAAACUUUUGAGAAAGAAAGGAAGCUAGACUUCCACAGAGCCUAUGACUAGUUUUAGUAAAAGAAAAAGGAAACUAUGAUUUCUAAGAAAGUUUUUGAAGCAAAGUUUGAGAAAUUAUCUCAAACUAGAGAAGAAGUUGUUUUAAAAAAACAUAUGAGCUAAGUAUUUUGGGAGUAGUAUUGAGCACCGAUAUGGUGACGCGAGUUCAUAUUAACUCAAGUCUCCAUAAACCAUUGAGCCAACAUGGAGAUAUAAAAGAUCAUACUUUUUAGAUGAUUCCUUAGUAAUUUUAGCAUAGACUAGUGAAUCCUCUUAGUAGUUCAGGUUCUAUAUCGACGACAAGGUAUAGAGUGGUCCUCUUGCAACAUGAGGUAAUACGUUGUACCAUCACUUAGGCUCAUAGAUGGUUGUCGGUUAGAUAAUCUCUCAAAGAAAUUAUAAUACUUUCAAAUAUAUGAGUAAAGUUGAGUUUAUUAUUGAUUUAUCUUUAAUGAACUAAGUGUUUACACUGUUUUACAAGCUUUUCUUAUAUCGCAUGUGUCCUUACUGCUUUAUAUUGAGUCGUUAUUUCAUGAGUUGAGCAGAACCAAGGUAAGUUCUUCCUUACUCCUUUCAAGCCUUAUAGUAGUGUUUAGUAUUCCAAUUCGCAUACUCGUUUGGCCUGCAUGCAUCGCCUUAUAAUGCAGAAGCAGGUAAUUAGGAUCAACAUGCAGCACUUUGUUGAACCAGUUUGAGCUCUAGAGUCAGUGGUGAGCCUCCAUGCAUUUCGGAGGAUCCUUUUAUUGCUAUCUAGUUAGUUCAAUAGAAUGUUGUGGGGUUUGUCCCAACAUUCAUCUCAGUCAGUUUAGAGGUUUCAUAGACGGAUAGUAGUAGUUAAGUUGUGUCUCUUUAUUUCAGAUUCUAUAUUUGAGACUUAAGUGCAAAUUUGGCCAAGACAGUAUUUAAAGUCAUUUUUAUGAGAACUUCUUCAAUUCUAUAACUGAAUUAAGUUGAGUCUUCCGCUGAGUUAAGUAAGUCAGACCAAGAGUUCCCUUGAGGCCAGCAAUGGUCACCAAGUGCUAGUCCCACCCAGGGUAUAAGCUCGGAGCAUGCUAAUAUAUGCAUUUCAUAUACGACUUACGUAUUCAGAUACUUUUAACAUUUUGUUAGAGCAGAAGAGUCUUAACUUAUAUAUGUAGGUGAAGUAUUGAUAUAUUGGGAUAUUGGUACUUAUUAUUAUUUUACUUUAAUACUUAUUUAUAAGUCUACAACACACGGUAAGCACACACAAGGUGCUCAACAUGUGUGCUUGAAGUAAAUUUAAUUUUGAAUGAGGUUAAUUUGGUCAUUUUAUAUAAUACUCAAUGUUUCUUUUACUUGUACAAAAUGCAAAAUUGCUUUUAUGGACAUCAAAUGACCAAAAACCCAGUAUCCUUUAACUCAUUGUCAUAUGUUAUAGAACAUUGCAAUUGGUUGAAAAUGAACUUUAAUGUAGUUGCAAUAUAAUUAUUUUUACUUCUUGUCAAAACUGCCCCUAUGCGGCUUAAGCUUAUUUUAUCAACUAUUUGUUAUUACGUGGAGAAAUUAAAGACAUCUUUAGAUGAGUCCUUUUAAGCGGUACCGACCUAGAUAUAUAUAUUCUUUUCGUUUUAUUUAUGUCAUUUUUACUAAAAAUAGGUAAUAUUUAAUAUUUAUCAUUUCACAAAAGUAAUGCAUUAUAUAGUAAUGAAAUCGACUCUCUGAACUCUGUGACGGACCGUCACAGGUACGACGAACCGUCGUGAGCCCCCGUUUCAAAACACUUCAACUCUUGAGAAUUUGGUACAGGGAACGAUUCUCUGAACGUCAUGACGGAGGUGCAGGACGGACCGUCGUAGGUACGAUGGGCUGUCACAGACUCCUUAAGGAAAUCGAGUCUUUGACGAACCUGCAUGACGGACCGUCGCAGGCACGACGGGCCGUCGCAGGUUGCGCAAUCCCAGUCUGGGUCAGAUUUCUUUACACAUUUUAAGGGACGUUUUUGACUAUUCCUUCUUUAAUUAUAAAGUUAGUGGGUUAAUGUUAAUAAGUCUAAUUACUUGGGGGUUAAAAGAGGUAACCUCAAGUUAAUUAGUGGGUUAUUAUUGCCAUCUUUCAUUCUUAAUUAUAUACUAAUUAGGGUAAAAGAAAGAGGGUUUGAAUAAAGAAAAUAGAAAGAACACAAAGAGAGAGAGGGAGAAUCGAACGAGAAGGUGAAAAGAAGAGGAGAAACACAAAGCUUUGGGAAAUUGCUUGCUUGAUUUCUUGUCUUCGGUGGAGGUAGGUUUUGGUUUUCAUGCUAUUCGUAGUAAACUCUUAAUAGCGAAUGAUAUGUGUUAGUAGUAUUGUAAACCCUUCUAUAUGCUUAAUUGUAUGCUUGCAUGAAUGAUGUGAUUAUGGAAUUAUGAAUAAAUAAGCAUGAUGAAGUUAUUGAAUCCCAAAUCUUGAAAAGAAACCUUAAUCUACUUUGUUAAUGAUGAUGCCUUGGUAUAAAAGAAGGCUUGAUGAACGAAAGGGGUGAGAUUAGGGGAUCGAGUGCCACAUUCUGGUACCAGUAUAGAGAUAGAGGAUCGGGUGCCACGUUCCGGUACCAGGAUAGAAUGAGGAUCGAAGUGUCACGUUCCGACACCAGGAUAGUAUAUGGAUCGGGUGCCACGUUCCGGUACCAGGAUAGAAUGAGGAUCGGAGUGUCACGUUCCGACACCAGGAUAGUAUAUGGAUCGGGUGCCACGUUCCGGUACCAGGAUAGAAUGAGGAUCGGAGUGUCACGUUCCGACACCAGGAUAGUAUAUGGAUCGGAGUGUCACGUACCGACACGAGGGGAAUAAAUAUAAUGAAUCUUGUAAGAUGCUAAUAUACUCAAUUUAAUGAAACUAAUUCCCAAAUGAGUAUGAUAUUGAGGCUUGAGUCCUCACGUGUGAACUUGACGGUAUUUGUUAAUGAUAUAGUACUUGUUGUUGCUACAUGUUGAGUAUCAUAGUUGAUUUUAUGAUAUUGCUUAAUAUAUAUUGUUUUCUAAUUUCGAGUUGACCGAUGAUAUCUACUCAGUACCCGUGUUUUGUACUGACCCCUACUUUUGUGUUUUCUUCUUUGUUAUUUGUGGAGUGCAGCAAACAUGCCGUCGUCUUCGACUCAACAGUAUUCAAGCCAGUCUUUACUACACCGGAAAUUCAGGGUGAGCUAAUGCUUCUAGCUUGGACUGGAUCUUCUUCUUCAAGUCUUGAUGCCUUGAACUUCCGGCAUGGACUAGCUUCUUAUGUAUUUUUAGCUUCUUAGACAUUUUUAGUUAGUAAUUUGAUCAUAGAUGUUCUUGUGAUGAUGACUUCCAGAUUUUGGGGAAUAAUAGUUAUUGAAUUGGUUUUUAUUUAAUGAGCUUAAGUCUUCCGCAUUAUUUUCUAUUGAUAUACGUUGAAAUGAUAAGGUUUAGAUUGGUUGGUUCGCUCACAUAGGAGGGUAAAUGUGGGUGCCAGUCGCGGCUCGGUUUUGGGUCGUGACAAACCUUGUAUCAGAGCAUUAGGUUCGUUGGUCUCAUCACACAAGAACGAGUCUAGUAGAGUCUUAAGGAACGGUAGGGGGGCGCCUUUACUUUUCUUUGAGGGGCUAUAAGACUUUAGGAAAUUCCAUUCUUUCUUAUCUCUUUCGUGAUACUACUUGAAUCCAAUUGGUAUCUAGGUGAUUCAAAUUGGUAUCUGACCAUCUUCACUCUAUUUCGCAGAUGGUUAGAACUAGAUCAACGACUGCGCCAACACCAACACCGGCAAGACAAGAAACGUCUGAGCCAGCCACUGGGGCUGUGGCUCAAGGAAGAGCAAUAGCAAGAGGUCGUGGUAGAGUUCGUGGGAGGACGUCCUCUAGAGGGAGAGGACGAGUACCUAGCCCAUCUGAUGCUAGGGCGGUGACUCCUCCACCGACUGAGGAAGUAGUAAGAGAGGGUGAGGAAGGGGAGAAUGAACAAGUGCAAAAUGAUGAAUUGCCACCCCAACCUACCCCAGAGAUGAUCAAUCAGGUUCUCGCUUAUCUUAGUGGGUUAUCUGAUUAGGGCCAGACACCUCCAGUGUUUUCUGCACCAGUACCUCAGGUUCCGGAGGUACAACAUGCGGCUACUAUGGCUCCUCGUAUGGAUGCCUCAUUGGACAUAGGCACGUUUCCACGUCUGACUACUGGGCCUAUAAUGACAAAUGAUCAGCAUGAACUUUUCAGUAAGUUCUUGAAAUUGAAACCCCCAGUCUUCAAGGGUGCUGAAUCUGAGAAUGCUUACGAUUUUCUGGUUGACUGUCAUGAGCUACUACACAAGAUGGGUAUAGUAGAACGGUUUGGUGUUGAGUUCGUGAGUUAUCAGUUUCAAGGGAACGCCAAAAUGUGGUGGCGGUCACAUGUUGAGUGUCAACCAACAGAGGCACCACCUAUGACUUGGGCCUCAUUCUCUAGCUUGUUUAUGGAGAAGUGUGUCAACCAACAGAGGCACCACCUAUGACUUGGGCCUCAUUCUCUAGCUUGUUUAUGGAGAAGUAUAUCCCCCAGACUUUGAGGGAUAGGAAAAGGGAUGAGUUCUUGAGCCUAGAUCAAGGUAGGAUGUCGGUUAAUGCAUAUGAGGCUAGGUUUCGCGCACUAUCCAGGUAUGCCACUCAACUUUGUUUCAGUCUACAAGAGCGGAUUCGCCGGUUUGUGAAGGGGUUGAGGUCAGAGUUGCGGAUUUCGGCCUUACAGGUAGCGGCUACGGCAAAAUCCUUCCUAGAAGUGGUAGACUUCGUGAUAGAGGUGGAAGGAGUGAAGCCCAAUGACUUCACCUCGACAUCGACAUCAAAAAGGUUUCGAAAGGGAGGUGAGUUUAAUGGUUCUUACCCUAGGGGAUAGGGUUUCGGAGGUUACUCAGUCCGACCGAUUCAGUCUUCACUACAGACUGUAGUUGGGGGUCCACCUCAGACCGGUCAAAACUUCCUUGAGAGACCUAUGCAUGAACCAAGAAAGUGCUAUGGAUGUGGGGAGAUUGGAAAUAUUAAGAGAUAUUGUCCAAAACAGAGUUACCGACCCCCAAUAGCUAGAGGUAGAGGUGGUUAUGGAAGAAGUCGUCAUUCUGGAGGACGCGGUGGUCGAGGUAAUGGUGGUCACCAAAACGGCCGGGGUGAUGGGCAAACUGGAGCCACUACAUCACAACAUGGUAGGGGCAAUAGACAGACAAGUAAUGGGGCUCAUUGCUACGCUUUUCCUGGGAGAUCUGAAACGGAGACAUCAGAUGCUGUCAUCACAGGUAAUCUUUUAAUUUGUGAUUGCAUGGCUUCUAUAUUGUUUGAUCCUGGAUCCACAUUUUCUUAUGUAUCUUCCUCAUUUGCUAAUGGUCUAAAUUUACGUUGUGAAUUACUUGACAUGCCUAUUCAUGUUUCUACUCCGGUGGGUGAGUCUGUGGUAGUUGAAAAGGUAUAUAGGUCUUGUUUGGUGAACUUUGUGGGGAGCAACAGUUAUGUAGAUUUGGUUAUCUUAGAAAUGGUUGAUUUUGAUGUAAUUCUGGGUAUGACUUGGCUUUCUCCGCAAUUUGCGAUCUUGAUUGUAAUGCUAAAACGGUGACGUUAGCCAAGCCUGGGACAGAUCCGUUAGUGUGGGAGGGUGACUACACUUCCAAUCCGGUGUGUAUCAUCUCCUUUCUUCGUGCUAAGAAAAUAGUUAGUAAAGGGUGUUUGGCUUUCUUGGCACAUCUCAAGGAUGACACUACCCAAGUACCCUCGAUUGAGUCAGUUUCGGUAGUCCGUGAGUUUUUGGAUGUGUUCCCUGCAGAUCUUCCUGGUAUGCCACCGGAUAGGGAUAUUGACUUCUGUAUUGAUCUUGAACCGGGUACUCGCCCCAUUUCUAUACCCCCUUAUAGAAUGGCUCCCGCCGAAUUGAGAGAGUUAAAGGCCCAACUUCAAGAGUUGUUGAGCAAAGGUUUCAUUAGACCAAGUGCAUCUCCUUGGGGUGCUCCGGUUUUGUUUGUAAAGACGAAGGAUGGGAGUUUUCGGAUAUGCAUAGACUACCGGCAGUUGAACAAGGUAACCAUAAAGAACAAGUAUCCUCUUCCUCGCAUUGAUGACUUGUUCGAUCAGUUACAAGGUGCUCGUGUCUUCUCUAAGAUUGACUUGAGAUCCGGUUAUCAUCAAUUGAAAAUACGGGCAACGGAUGUGCCAAAGACUGCUUUUAGAAUCAGGUAUGGGCAUUACUAAUUUGUAGUGAUGUCUUUUGGUCUUACGAAUGCCCCUACUGCGUUCAUGAGUUUGAUGAACGGGAUUUUUAAGCAAUAUUUGGAUCUCUUUGUGAUCGUAUUUAUUGAUGAUAUACUGAUAUACUCAAAGAGCAAGAAGGAACAUGAAGAGCAUUUGAGAAUGGUAUUGGAAAUGUUGAGGGAGAAAAAUCUUUAUGCCAAGUUCUCUAAGUGUGAGUUUUGGCUAGAUGCAGUGUCCUUCUUGGGGCAUUUAGUUUCUAAGGAGGGAGUGAUAGUGGAUCCUUCCAAGAUUGAGACAGUGAAGAAUUGGGUAAGACCUACUAAUGUGUCAGAAAUAAGGAGCUUUGUUGGGUUAGCUAGCUACUACCACCGAUUCGUCAAGGGAUUCUCUUCUAUUGCUUCCCAACUGACGAACUGCAAAAUGUUCCAUUUGUAUGGUCGGAUGAGUGUGAGGAAAGCUUUCAGAAGCUCAAGACUCUGUUGACUACUGCACUAAUUCUCACCUUGCCAGUGGAAGGUAGGAAUUUUAUUGUCUAUUGUGAUGCAUCCUAUUCGGGUUUGGGUGCAGUGCUAAUGCAAGAGAAGAAUGUGAUUGCUUAUGCUUCGAGGCAAUUAAAAGUGCAUGAACAUAACUAUCCAACUCAUGAUUUGGAAUUGGCUGCGGUAGUGUUUGCAUUAAAGCAAUGGAGACACUAUUUAUAUGGGGUUAAGUGUGAGGUCUACACGGAUCAUCGUAGCCUUCAGUAUGUCUUUACUCAGAAAGAUUUGAACUUGAGACAGAGGAGAUGGAUGGAGCUACUAAAGGACUAUGAUAUCACUAUCUUGUAUCAUCCGGGGAAGGCGAAUGUUGUAGCGGAUGCUUUAAGUAGAAAGGCGGGAAGCAUGGGAAGUCUAGCCCACUUGCAAGCUUCUAGACGCCCAUUGGCUAGAGAAGUUCAGAUUCUGGCUAACGACCUUAUGAGAUUAGAAGUAAAUGAGAAGGGAGGAUUUUUUGCUUGUGUGGAGGCAAGAUCUUCCUUCCUUGACAAGAUUAAGGGAAAACAGUUUGAUGAUGAGAAACUAAGCAGAAUCCAAGAUAAGGUGUUGCGAGGAGAGGCUAAGGAAGCACAAAUCGAUGAGGAAGGUGUUUUGAGUAUUAAGGGAAGGGUAUGUGUACCCCGCGUCGAUGAUUUGAUCAACACUAUUCUGACAGAGGCUCAUAGUUCAAGGUAUUCGAUACAUCCGGGUGCAACAAAGAUGUACUGUGACCUAAAGCAACACUUUUGGUGGAGUAGAAUGAAGCGUGAUAUUGUGGAUUUUAUUGUCAAAUGUCCAAACUGUCAACAAGUAAAGUAUGAACACCAAAGGCCCGGAGGAACACUUCAGAGAAUGUCCAUUCCUGAAUGGAAGUGGGAAAGGAUUGCAAUGGAUUUCGUGGUUGGUCUUCCAAGGACAUUGGGAAAGUUUGAUUCUAUUUGGGUAAUUGUUGAUAGGUUAACUAAGUAUGCUCAUUUCAUUCCAGUUAAGGUGACUUACAAUGCCGAGAGGUUAGCCAAGAUCUAUAUCUCAGAAAUCGUUCGAUUGCAUGGGGUUCCACUAUCCAUCAUAUCAGAUAGAGGUACGCAAUUUACUUCUAAGUUUUGGAAAACAUUGCAUGCGGAAUUGGGUACUAGGUUGGACCUUAGUACUGCGUUCCAUCCUCAGACCGAUGGUCAGUCUGAGCGAACGAUUCAAGUGUUGGAGGAUAUGCUUCGUGCAUGUGUGAUAGAAUUUGGUGGUCAGUGGGAUAGCUUCUUACCCUUAGCAGAGGUCUCCUACAACAAUAGCUAUCACUCAAGUAUUGAUAUGGCUCCAUUUGAAGCAUUGUAUGGUAGGAGGUGUAGGUCCCCCAUUGGUUGGUUUGAUGCAUUUGAAGUUAGACCUUGGGGUACUGACCUUUUGAGGGAUUCAUUAGAGAAAAUGAAAUCUAUUCAAGAAAAGCUUCUAGCGGCGCAAAGUGGUGAUGCGGUUUGGUAAGCAAGGUAAACUUAGCCCAAGGUAUAUUGGCCCAUUUGAAGUACUCAAGCGAAUAGGGGAGGUGGCUUAUGAGUUAGCCUUGCCUCCAAGGCUGUCCGGAGUACAUCCGGUAUUCCAUGUGUCGAUGUUGAAAAGAUACCCUGGGGAUGGAAACUACAUUAUCCGUUGGGAUUCAGUUUUGCUUGAUGAAAAUUUGACUUAUGAGGAGGAGCCUGUUGCCAUUUUAGAUAGAGAAAUUCGCAAGUGGAGAUCAAGGGAGAUUGUAUCCAUCAAAGUUCAAUAGAAGAAUCGACCAGUCGAAGAAGCCACUUGGGAGAAAGAGGCUGAUAUGCGAGAAAGAUACCCACACCUUUUACAGAUUCAGGUACUCCUUUUCGCCCUUGUUUUCCUUCUUGUGAUCGUUCGGGGACGAACGAUGGGUAAAUUGGUAUCUAUUGUAACGACCUGUUUAGUCAUUUUGAGCAGCAGACUUCAAUUCUGGAAAAACUGGCAAAAACGACUGACCCCACGACGGACCGUCAUGGGCACGACGGACCGUCGAGGGGGUCUCGUUCCAUAACACUUAGAAAAUAGAAAAUUGGGUACUGAAAUCGACUCUCUGAACUCUGUGACGGACCUGUAGGACGAACCGUCACAGGUACGACGAACCGUCGUGAGCCCCCGUUUCAAAACACUUCAACUCUUGAGAAUUUGGUACAGGGAACGAUUCUCUGAACGUCGUGACGGAGGUGCAGGACGGACCGUCGUAGGUACGAUGGGCCGUCACAGACUCUUUAAGGAAAUCGAGUAUCUGACGAACCUGCAUGACGGACCGUCGCAGGCACGACGGGCCAUCGCAGGUUGCGCAAUCCCAGUCUGGGUCGGAUUUCUUUACACGUUUUAAGGGACGUUUUUGACUAUUCCUGCUUUAAUUAUAAAGUUAGUGGGUUAAUGUUAAUAAGUCUAAUUACUUGGGGGUUAAAAGAGGUAACCUCAAGUUAAUUAAUGGGUUAUUAUUGCCAUCUUUCAUUCUUAAUUAUAUACUAAUUAGGGUAAAAGAAAGAGGGUUUGAAUAAAGAAAAUAGAAAGAACACAAAGAGAGAGAGGGAGAAUCGAACGAGAAGGUGAAAAGAAGAGGAGAAACACAAAGCUUUGGGAAAUUGCUUGCUUGAUUUCUAGUCUUCGGUGGAGGUAGCUUAUGGUUUCAUGCUAUUCGUAGUAAACUCUUAAUAGCGAAUGAUAUGUGUUAGUAGUAUUGUAAACCCUUCUAUAUGCUUAAUUGUAUGCUUGCAUGAAUGAUGUGAUUAUGUAAUUAUGAAUAAAUAAGCAUGAUGAAGUUAUUGAAUCCCAAAUCUUGAAAAGAAACCCUAAUCUACUUUGUUAAUGAUGAUGCCUUGGUAUAAAAGAAGGCUUGAUGAACGAAAGGGGUGAGAUUAGGGGAUCGGGUGCCACGUUUCGGUACCAGGAUAGAGAUAGAGGAUCGGGUGCCACGUUCCGGUACCAGGAUAGAAUGAGUAUCGGAGUGUCACGUUCCGACACCAGGAUAGUAUAUGGAUCGGGUGCCACGUUCCGGUACCAGGAUAGAAUGAGGAUCGGAGUGUCACGUUCCGACACCGGGAUAGUAUAUGGAUCGGGUGCCACGUUCCGGUACCAGGAUAGAAUGAGGAUCGGAGUGUCACGUUCCGACACCAGGAUAGUAUAUGGAUCGGAGUGUCACGUACCGACACGAGGGGAAUAAAUAUAAUGAAUCUUGUAAGAUGCUAAUAUACUCAAUUUAAUGAAACUAAUUCCCAAAUGAGUAUGGUAUUGAGGCUUGAGUCCUCACGUGUGAACUUGACGGUAUUUGUUAAUGAUAUAGUACUUGUUGUUGUUACAUGUUGAGUAUCAUAGUUGAUUUUAUGAUAUUGCUUAAUAUAUAUUGUUUUCUAUUUCGAGUUGGCCGAUGAUAUCUACUCAGUACCCGUGUUUUGUACUGACCCCUACUUUUAUGUUUUCUUCUUUGUUAUUUGUGGAGUGCAGCAAACGUGCCGUCGUCUUCGACUCAACAGUAAUUCAAGCCAGUCUUUACUACACCGGAAAUUCAGGGUGAGCUAAUGCUUCUAGCUUGGACUGGAUCUUCUUCUUCAAGUCUUGAUGCCUUGAACUUCCGGCAUGGACUAGCUUCUUAUGUAUUUUUAGCUUCUUAGACAUUUUUAGUUAGUAAUUUGAUCAUAGAUGUUCUUGUGAUGAUGACUUCCAGAUUUUGGGGAAUAAUAGUUAUUGAAUUGGUUUUUAUUUAAUGAGCUUAAGUCUUCCGCAUUAUUUUCUGUUGAUAUACGUUGAAAUGAUAAGGUUUAGAUUGGUUGAUUCACUUACAUAGGAGAGUAAAUGUGGGUGCCAGUCGCGGCUCGGUUUUGGGUCGUGACAGCAUAGAAAGCUAAGUAACUAAUUCAUACUUAUUGGUCAAAUUAAAUAGUCAAAAUAAAUAAAUUCAUGUUUAUUGAUUGAAAACUUGACUUCAAAAAAACAGUAAGAAUAGAAUAAAAUUUGCUUAAUUUCGUAAUACACAUAAAAUCUAAAAUAGUGACAUAUAAAUAUGAUCGGAGAGAGUAUAAGUUAAUUCUCUAUUUGUAUCAUACAAAUAGAGAAUCAAGAUUUUAUUAAUGAUUUUUCUUUUAUUUUUUGAUGUAAAGCGCAGUCAAGGCAGCGAUUUCACUUUAAUUUUUUUUAAUUUUCUUACAUAAAUCGCUGGCAAUUUCUCCAAUCUUUUUGUAAAUUUUUUUUAAUUGUGUCGUAAAGCGCUGCAAUUGCAGCGAUAUUUUUUUGCUAAAAAAAUCAAUAUUGUAAAUCGUCUAUGCAUGACUUUAUUGAUUUUUCUUUUUUUUUUGAACAAAUUUUUAGUGGAUUUUUUUAUAAAAUUGAAACUUCUUUUUUAACGUAAGAAAAUUAAAAAAAAUUAAACUGUAAUCGCUGCCUUGGCAGGGAUUUGUUGUAAAAAAAAUUUAUUUUAAAAAAGUGAAUUGUACAAAUUGGUGCUAUAGCAGCGAUUUUCCUUAGCGUCGGCAAACAAAAUCACUACAUCCUAAGCGAUUUUAUCGUUUUGGUUAUAAAAAAAUUCAUAUACCUGUAACGACCUGUUUAGUCGUUUUGAGCAGCAGAUUUUAUUCUGGAAAAACAGGCUGAGGCGACGGACCCAACGACGGACCAUCAUGGGCACGACGGACCGUCGCAGGGUCUCGUUUGAAAACACUUAGAAAAACUGAAAAUUGGAUACUGAAAAUCGACUCUUUGAACUUCGUAACGAAAUGGCAGGACGGACCGUCACAGGUAUGACGGACCGUCACAGACCAUUGGUGGAAAUUUGGGUCUCUGAACUUUGCGACGACCUGCAGGACGGACCGUCGCAGGCACGACGGCCCGUCACAGGUUGCGCAAUCCCAGUCCGGGUCGGAUUUCUUGAUACGUUUUAAGGGACGUUUUUGACUAUUCUUGCCUUAAUUAUAAAGUUAGUGGGUUAAUGUUAAUAAGUCUAAUUACUUGGGGGUUAAAAGAGGUAACCUUAAGUUAAUUAGUGGGGCAUUAUUGCCAUCUUUUAUUCUUAAUUAUAUGUUAAUUAGGGUAAAAGGAAGAGGGUUUUGAAUAAAGAAAAUAGAAAGAACAAGAGAAAGAGAGACAGAGAGUCGAACGAGAAAGAAGAGAAACAAAGCUUGGAGAAAAAUUUGCUUGCUUGAUCACUAAUCUUCGGUGGAGGUAGGUUAUGGUUUCUCUUACGAUAUUCGUAGUAAACUCUUAAUAGAGAAUGAUAUGUAUUGAUAAUAUUGUAAACCCUGCUAUGUGCUUAAUUGUAUGCUUGCAUGAAUGUAAUUAUAUAAUUGUGAUUAUAUAAGCAUGAUGAAGUUAUUGAAUCCCAAAUCUUGCAAAAUCCUAAUCUCUUUGUUAAUAAUGAGGCCUUGGUAUAAAAGAAGGCGUGAUGAACUAAAAUAAUGGGAUUGAUGAUGCCUUGGUAAGAAAGAAGGCUUGAUGAAUUGAUGGAAGGAGAUUAGGGGAUCGGGUGUCACGAACCGACACGUAGAAUUAGGGGAUCGGGUGUCACGAACCGACACGUAGUAUUAGGGGAUCGGAUGUCACGAACCGACACGUAGUAUUAUGAGAUCGGGUGUCACGAACCGACACGUAGUAUUAGGGGAUCGGGUGUCACGAACCGACACGUAGUAUUAGGGGAUCGGGUGUCACGAACCGACACGUAGAUUUAGGGGAUCGGGUGUCACGAACUGACACAUAGAUUUAGGGGAUCGGGUGUCACGAACCGACACAUAGAUUUAGGGGAUCGGAGUGUCACGUACCGACACAAGAGGAUUAAUGAAUAUUGAGGGAGCGGAGUGUCACGUACCGACACAAGAGAAAUAAAGAUAAUGAAUCUUGAAAGAUAUUAAUAUACUCAAUCUAAUGAACAUGAUUCCCAAAUGAGUAUGGUAUUGAGGCUUGAGUCCUCAUGUGUGAACUUGACGGUAAUUGUUAAUGAUAUAGUAUUUGUUGUUGCUACAUGUUGAGUAUCAUAGUUGAUUUUAUGAUAUUACUUGGUAUAUAUUGAUUUCUAUUUUGAGUUGGCCGAUGAUAUCUACUCAGUACCCGUGUUUUGUACUGACCCCUACUUUUAUAUUUUCUUCUUGUUUAUUUGUGGAGUGCAGCAAACGUGCCAUCGUCUUCAACUCAACAGUAAUUCAAGCCAGUCUUACUACAUCGGAAAUUCAGGGUGAGCUAAUGCUUCUAGCUUGGACUGGAUCUUCUUCUUCAAGUCUUGAUGCCUUGAACUUCCGGCAUGGACUAGCUUCUUAUGUAUUUUUAGCUUUUAGAACACUCUUAGUUUAGUCAUUUGAUCGUAGAUGUUCUUGUGAUGAUGACUUCCAGAUUUUGGGGAAUAAUAGAUGUUGAAUUUUAGAAGUUAAUGAAUUGGUCUUUAUUUAAUGAGUUUAAGUCUUCCGCAUUACUUUCUGUUGAUAUUAUAUUGAAAUGUUAAGGUCAGAUUGGUUGGUUCACUCACAUAGAAGGGUAAGUGUGGGUGCCAGUCGCAACCCGGUUUGGGUCGUGACAAUACCUUUUUGAAAUUUUUGUUAAUAUUUUUCACCCUUUAGCCUCUGUACUUGCAUGAAUUACAAUAUUCUUCCUAUUUUACUCUUGUGAAUAAUUAGCUUUGAAAGUAUAUGUUUGAUCAACCUAGAAAAACUAAGUGAAUAGUUUAUGUUCAUUAAUUCAAUUAAUUAAUAAAAAUAAAUUAAUUAAUAUUUUCUUGACAAAUUCCUAUUUGAUUUUUUAAUUUAAUUCAAAAUUUUCAAGUUCCAUGUUUCACUCUUUUCUUGACGAGUUUUGUAAUAAACUAUGUACAAGAAAAGCUGUAGCUAUAAAGAAAUCAACGUAGUACAAAAUUGAAAAUUGUAUUUCAUUAAGUAAAAAAAUAGAAGGGCUUAACAACAAAACAAACUAAUUAAAUUUUAACUUAAACCCCCUGAAAUAAUAAUAAUAAUAAUAAUAAUAAUAAUAAAACAAUACUACAACAAGAAUCAUCAACCACAUACAUAAUAAGAGAGAAUAGACAAACAAAAAUUUGGAUACAACGAUGAAAUAACUAUAGAUAAUACAAAUUUGGAUAUUCAUUAAACUAUAUAUAGUGAAUAUCCUGAUACUAUAUUGCCUAAUUCUCGUUUCUAGGUACAUCAUCCAUGACAAACACGCCUAUUGAAACCCUUCAUGGAGGCGUAUAUCGGUGCCCAAUCCUUUUAUAACGAGGCGUAUAUAAGUGCUAAACUGUAAUGUUAAGAAAUACUUUUUAAUUAGUUUUCUAAAUAUAAUUUAUUCCUUUAUUUCUUUUUGUGUUAAUACUAGAACUAGAAUAGAUCAAUUGAUGUUCAUAACAAAUUCCAACACCUCACUCAUAAUGAAAUUGAUCAUAAUUUAAAGUACUAAAUCAUGCUAAAUAAGUUAAGUAAGUAUUAGUUACAUGCCUAAAUAUUAAAAGAAAAUAAAAUUAGAUCAUGUAUUUUAAUUGUUUAAAUCUAUGUAAAACUAAAAAAUAAAUAUUCAAUAUUAUUGUCAUUCUUAGUGUUGAAUUGAUUCGUUUUUUGCAUUAUUAUUAAUUUGAUUUUUAUUUAAACUUUAUUAUAAUUACCAACAUGUAUGGUCUAUAAUCUUUAUUUGAUAAUUAAGAAUUCUAACUUCCAAACAUAAAAUAAAUAUAGUAAAAGAUAAAAACUGUGAAAAAAGUAUAAGAGAUAUUUAUUAAUUAUAUCAAAGUAAGUAUUUUUACGUAUAAAAUAAAAACUUUAAUUUAUAUGUAUAAUGUCGGGUUGGUUUGGUCUCGGGUUGAUUUAUUAUAGUUGAAACCAACCCAACCCAAAUAUAGUCGGGGUUUUUUUUUCCAACACAAAAUUGAGUCAAACCAAACCACUAGUCAGGUUUUUUUUCGAUUUGACUAGGUCUGCGGGUUUAGUUCAAUUUUCGAUUUGAUUUUAUACACUCGAUUUUGAUUUUUGUGAUCUGUAGUAAGAGAUAUAGAGCAAGUCUUUUUUCCAUUAAACUUAUUUAUUUUAUUUUAUUUUUGUAGGAAAGAAGGGGGACCUUGUAUAAUUUUUUUGAUUUAGAUUUGAUGUAUCUUUGUUAAAAAAGUGGGUUACAUACACUCCUAUUAUCAUAUAAACGUGAAUUACUUUAUAAUGAGCGAUAUAUAAAUUUUAAUAAAUUAUAAAAUUGAGGAGGAGUAUAUCAAGACUUUUUACGGACUUGCGUAUUUAGAUAUUUUAGAGAUUCUGUUAAUUAAAGUAGAAGAGUAGGUGAAUAUUGGUAUGUUGAAAACAUGUGCUAUUUAUACUCAUGAAUAGAAUAAUUAAGUAGUAUAUAAUUGUUUAGUUAAACGUGUUGGGAGCCGUGCAUGCAUAUAUAUAUAUAUAUAUGCAUUUCAUGACAUAUAUAAUAAUAUAAUAAUAAUAUUAUCCAAUCUCACCAUUUAUUUAAUAUAAUAUUACAUGAUAAUUAAGAGGGCACUUCAUUUAUUUAGGUGUGUGUGAGUGAGUGAUGAUGGAGUAGUCCUAGGUAAUAGUGACGGUUGCUAGAGAUGUAAGUAUCCCAAAAAUUGCUGCCAAAGUUUGACCAACCACAUUCUCAAGUAAGUUUCCAAUAAGGAUAACGGGAGCUACAAGGGUUCCUGUGGUUGGAGUCAAAGUGCAAUUAGCAAUUGGGAGAGGAAUCCUUGCAAUACAUGUUCCUGACAAAAGACUUGUAUUGGUGGACACUGCAGCAUUAAUAAUGCCUUGACUAUUUGUGGACACUUGAGCAAUCGUUGUGUUGCCACAAAUAAUCGUUACAUUUGCUCCACUCACUCCGACGCCUGGGGCAUUACUUCCCGGUACGGAGCAAGACAAACUCCCCAAUAUACUUAAAUUAACAACACGAUCAACAACAGGUGGUACAAUCGGUGGUACUUGACCACCAACAGGUGGUACAAUCGGUGGUACUUGACCAACAACAGGUGGUACAAUCGGUUGGCCAAGAAUAGGACUAAGAAUGGGACCAACAAUUGGACCGAGAAUAGAACCAACAAUCGGUAAUUGGCCAAGACCAACAGGUGGUACUUGACCAACGGGUGGUACAAUACGUGGUGCAGGUUGCCCCAAAAUGGGACCCACAAAGGGAAUGGGACCCAAAAUGGGACGAACAAUGAGACCCAAACCUUGAGCAUGGGCUAGAGGACUGAUGGUGAUGAUGGAAAGUAGAACAACAAGGGAAAC
RNAcentral lists this long non-coding RNA (74058 nucleotides) under Solanum lycopersicum (tomato). RNAcentral describes it as "long non-coding RNA (SLYC_LNC000696)". Lineage: Eukaryota; Viridiplantae; Streptophyta; Magnoliopsida; Solanales; Solanaceae. The record is from RNAcentral.